Molecule: long non-coding RNA, 62855 nt
Filed under: Fragaria vesca (wild strawberry)
Lineage: Eukaryota; Viridiplantae; Streptophyta; Magnoliopsida; Rosales; Rosaceae
Description: long non-coding RNA (FVES_LNC002078)
Source: RNAcentral
AAGAAGAAGAAGAAGAAGAAGAAGAAGAAGAAGAAGAAGAAGAAGAAGAAGAAGAAGAAGAAGAAGAUGACACAGAAGAAGAAGAAGAAGUGGAACAGUAUUUUAUAAAGAAGAGAGCAUUAGAAGUGGCAAAAAUAGAGAAGGAUGACAAGGACGAGGAGGAGGACGAGGAUGAGGACCUGGAAAAGAUUCCGCACACUUAACAGAAAUGUACUCUGGUAACAUUCUUCAAAUUAAUAGAGAGUCACAGAGACAAAAUCCCCUUAGAAGCAUGGCAGCUGAUCAGUCAAACUUGCUUUGGUGAAAUGAUUAACGCAUUUAGAACCAGGAGCAUCGUUGCGGAUCAGGUCAGCAGAUUUGAGUUGGAUAUAGAAAUUUUAUUGAGGCACUAUUGCAAGGAGACAAAAAAGUUCAUGUUUGGAGAAAAAGAAAUUAAUGGAGAUUAAAGAGGAAGAUGUGCAUCUUUUGUUUGGAUUAACAAAAGAAGGUGAAAAUGAGGAAGAAAAAAUCUCCAGGAGAAAGAAGAGCAGCCAACAGUCAACCAUAUUCGGCAAAACGAAAGCAUCCAUCUUUAGGAAGAUGAUCCACGACAAGUUGACAGUAGAGCUCAACAAGAUUAAGAACAAGGAGGUAGAACCAAGGAAAAUUGAUUCCUUGAUCAUAAUGUUCCUACUGGCUACUUUCUUCUUCAGCACAUCUGGAAGCCAAAUUGAAUGGCAAAUGGUGCUGACAUGUGAGGACCUAGAAGCAAUAAACAAAAUAAACUGAUCAAGAAAGCUGAUUGAAGCCUUCCAUGAAGGAGUGAAAGCAUGUCAAGGGCAAGCUAAAGGGUCUGAAUGGUUGCGUAGUUCUGCCUCUGUACUGCUUCUUGGAGCGUACAAAAAUCAAGGAAAGGAUCCAGAAGAAACAAGCAGCUAUGCGAAGAUUUGUAAGAUGGUCCACAAAUGGCAUCAUCUACGGAAGCGACUAUCUAAAGAGACCGAAAAAGCUUGAGGUAAAAAUUGGUUUUUGGUUUUCCAAAUAUUAUACAGCAUUGUACGUAGAUGUUGUUUCUGAAAAACUGAACAAAUCUUAUUUUUGCAAAAAACAGGAACUGGUUGCUCAAGGUCCAUGGAAGGAAGAGGAAGAAAGCACUUCCGGAUCAGAGGAAUAUGGCACCCCAGACGAACAUGGCACCCCGAGCUUUGAAGAAUGGGUAAGUCUGAAAAAUGAAUGAAAUAAAAGUGCAUUGGCAUACUUUACUGCCCCUAGUAAUAGUUCACUAGGGGCAGUAAACUUCACUUUUCAUUGCAUAAGUAGUGUAUGAUAUCAAGUUUACUAGGGGCAGUAAACUGUAUAAUCAUCUCUAAAUCAAUAGUUGACUGUUGGCAUAGUUAACUGUGGGUAGUAAACCUGUUUGGCAUAGUUUACUACCCCCAGUAAACAUUUACUGGGGGUAGUAAGUCACAUUUCUUUUUCCUGAUUGUGAAAAAAGUAGUUUACUAAGGGGUAGUAAACUUCAUACUUAUCUGUAUGUAUUUGGUCUCAGGUUCCUUUAUCAAGCCAGCAAGAAGUGGAAGAAAAUAAAAGAGUGGGCGACAAUUUUAAGACACUACUGACAGACUAGGAGGAGGAGAUCCCAGAAGAUUUGAAUGAGAAGCUAAAAGAACUCGACAAAGCAAACGAAGAACUCCAGAAUAGAAUCAAUGAUUACGUGCACAAGUUACAGCUCGCCGAUGACAAAAUAAAGCAGCUAGAGAUGGAGAAAAGGGAGCAAGACAGCCUCAACAAGGCUCUGAAGAGAAAGCUUAAAAAAGCAAAAUCCUCAGCAAAUGGACCUCCCGAGCAAAAAAUGGAAUUCGGUGGGAAAGAGCAUGGCUGCCAAGGAGAUGAACAAACAAAAAGGAAUGUAAGAUGAUACUUUACACUAUAACUAAGACUAUUUUUUACUUUAUUUUGUUUUCUUUAUUAUGUUACUAAUUUUUUUUUAAAUUAAAAAAAUCAGGAAAACCAGAACAGAAGCCUGAUAGUCAAGUUCAAAGUUGGAACUGCACAAACAACACAAUCUACAAAUGAUCAACCAGAAGCUUUGGUGAGCAUAUAAAAUUACUAGGGGGUAGUAGACUUAAUAGGGAAACUGUGUUGCAAGGUAGUAUACCCCAGACAAACUAUUACUAGGGGUAGUAAACGUUUUGUUAUUGUUUAAAAUCUGAGAAUAACAUGUGUUAUUUUAUUUUGUGAAGGCUGUGAUACAUGAUAAAAAACCAUUGAAUCACGUAUCUCCAAUAAUGGACUAUGAGGACUUGCCGCUCACAGAUGAUGACAUCUGUAAUUUAGAUAAGAUAGUUGAGUCCCAAGCUGCAUCCAUCCAACAAUCAGCAACAGAAAUGGACAACGACAUCUCUGUGACAGUUCAGUCCCAAGUUUCAUCGACCGAACAAACAGCAACAACAGAGGAUAAAAAGAUGAAUACUUAUUCCAAGAAGAGGAAAGCAAUGGAUCCGAUGUCGAUAGAAAAAAUGUGAAGCUGAACCCUAGAAACGCCAAGAAAACAAAGGACCCUGACUAGGAGUACGGCAUUCCAAAAGACAUUCAAGUCCACAAAAAAAUUAUAAACAAGAAUCUGAAGUGUGACAACAGUACAUGGGAUUCACUGGGCGACGAUUUAAAAUGCACUACAAACAAUGGUUUGAAGCCCGCCCGAACAAAAAGGAAGAGUAAGUUUCAAUUAUAUAAAACUUUACAGUUUGCUUAUGCAAAAUUACAAAAAUAUAUUUGUUUUAAUUGGAGUAUGAAUUCAAUGUUUUUCUACAGUGAAGCGUACUGGACAUGUCCUGAAGGCUGGCACUGUUUAUCAAAUAGUGACUUGAAAAGGAUUAUCGAACACUCAGACAUAUUGUCGAGUGUGAGUAAUAAAUAAAUAAAUAAUAUCACCUUAUUAGCACCACUCAGUGAAGUUUAGAUUUAAUAGUAUUGACUUAUGUUAUGAUCGCAGAGCCUACAAGUGUACAUGAGGUUGUUGAAGAAAAGGGCAGAAGCUGCCAAACUUCCUGUUGGAUUCAUGAACAUGGAGAUUGUGGUAAGUUUACUAGGGGCAAUAAAACUUAUAUUUUCAUCAAGAUAUUGUUUUGCAAGUUUACUACCCCUAGUAGCAGGUUACUAGGGGUAGUAAACUUAAGUUUUUGGUAUGUAUGUCUAUUUUUCUUUCAUUUGAUCUCUAUAAUGACUGUGAGGAUACCAUAUGGAAACUUUCAUGUAAAUUUAAUAUCUUUCAUAGAGUAUUUUUAAAUGCAAAACAGCAUUAUGUUUAAUACCUUUCAAGCAAUGUGUUUUUUUAUGCUCUGGAAACUUUACUACCCCUAGUAAAGUGUGCUUUAGGGUGCAGAAUAACAAAAUAUGAUGCUCUGCAAAUUUUACUGCCCCCAGUAAAGUAUGUUUUAGGGUGCAGAACAACAAAAUUUGAUGCUUUGGAAACUUUAUUACCCCUAGUAAAAUAUGUUCUAGGGUGCAAAACAACAAAAACUGAGGUUCUAGAAACAUUCUACCCCUAGUAAUGUAUGUGUUAGGCUGCAGAAUAACUAAAUCUGAUGCUUUAGAACAUUACUACCCCCAGUAAAGUUUAUUAUGGGUUGUAAAAUGUUAUUUAUAUAUGUUGGUUAAUCUAAGGUUAUUUGUUUUUUAAAUGCAGAAGGAUGUGAUAGAGCAUGAAACAAUGUUGGAACUGCACAAGCUAAAUGGAGGAACAACUGGAGACUUCAAAAGUGGUUAUGAACUCGGUAUGGAGGAAAACUUCUAUAACCCGCUUUGGACCUUGUUUGGAAAGCAGAUGGUCUUCAUUCCGUUACAUCACGGGUCUAGCCUUCACUACACUUUGCUGCUGAUUGACAACAUCAACAAACGCUUUUAUCACAUGAACUCUUCGUUGCCAACACCGUACAAAGAAAAAGACAACUUUCACUUCAAAAAUGCAAAAGCAGUGGUGAGUAAACAAUCAAAACAUUUUUAUUAAAAAAAAUGCAAAGCAUUCAAUUGUUAAGGUUAACUAAUGUUUAAAAAUUGUUUUGUUGCUUAAUAUACAGGUGAAGCACAUCAAGGAGUUCAUCAAACGUAUACAUUAUUCAACUGUGUUUACUUUGAGCCAAGACUUUGACCAGAAUGAAUACAGGAAAGAUUACGCGAUUGAUUAUGCACCCGAGGACAGUCAAGGCAGAAAACCUAGCAACAUAGUGAAAAUGACAGAGGACGAAAAUGUGACAAGACGUUGGAUUAUUGAUAAUAACAUCCAUCACAAACCAUACAAACUGACCGAACACCGCACAUGCCCCCAGCAAAAUGUAUCAUCGUAAGUACAUGAAUAUUCUUCUUAUACAUGUAUCAUUGUUUGUUAGGGUUGAUAACUACAUAACCAAAUGCUUUGAGAGUUUACUAUCCCUGGUAAAUGUUUUUUGUUAGGGGGGGUAGAACAACAUAAAUGAUGGGGUAGUAAUGUACAUUAAUAUUCAGAUUUAUUUUCUUAAUCAAAAUAAGUUAUUAACAUAGUUAGCCCUUUGAUUUAUGGCAGGUCUGAUUGUGGUCCAUUUGUUCUACAUUAUAUGGAGGCAAUGUGUGCUGGGUUGGAUCCAAACCAAGAAGGCGGCAACCAAAUGAGAAAGAAGAUGUUAGAGGAGUUUGCGAAAUUAAACAAAUGAUUUAUGUAACUUUUGUUAGAAUUGUGGACAGAUAUCACAACUAAGACUGAGAUCCAAUUUUAAGUUCUAUUUUGAAACUUUCAUGUAAAUUUAAGGGAAUUUAAUACCUAGUAAAGUAAUGGUUUACUAACAUCAGCAAUGUGCUUUUUUAUGCUCUGGAAAUUUUACUGCCCCCAGUAAAGUAUGUGUUAGGGUGCAGAACAACAAAAUCUGAUACUUUGGAAACAUUACUACCCCUAGUAAAGUAUGUUCUAGGGUGCAGAACAACAAAAACUGAGGUUCUGGAAACUUUACUACCCCUAAUAAAGUAUGUUCUAGGGUGCAGAACAAGUAAAUCUGACGACUUGAAACCAUUACUACCUCCAGUAAAGUUUAUUACUGGGUGCAGAACAACAUUACUACCCCCUUAGUUGUGUUUUUUUUAUGCUCUAGAAACAUUACUACCCCUAGUAAAGUAUGUUCUAUGAUGCAGAACAACAAAAACUGAGGUUCUGGAAACUUUACUACCCCUAGUAAAGUAUGUGUUAGGCUACAGAACAAGUAAAUCUGAAGACUUGGAAACAUUACUAACCCCAGUAAAGUUUAUUACUUGGGAGGGAAGAACAGAAAAAAUAAAUAAAUAAAUAAAUAAAUAAAAAGAUCCUGUGUAAAGUUACUGACCCUUAGAACUUUAAUGCUUGGGACAGAUGAACAUAAUAAUAUUGUCAAGAGAAUUCCACAAUAAUGAACAUCACAAAAAUCUUCAAUAAAAAUCCUUACAAUAGAGGCAAAUCUGAAUAUAGUUCAAAAAACAUCCAAAAAACAACAAAUUCCAAACAUCUACUAACAACCAGAAGGAUGUACAAGAAACUACAGCAACAUGUUCAAAGGUUCCGUACAGCUCUUCUUGUUAUGAUGGCCCAUCUUAUUACAACGACCGCAUCAAAUCAGCUUCUUCUCACCAGCAGAUGCUAUCCUCUUUGAUUUAGGCCUCCCAGCCGGCCUCUUUGUAACAAGAGGUAGUAUAAAGUCCUCAAUGGAAGAACAAGAGGCAUCCACGUUACUCAGAGGUGCAAUAAGAAAGCUAUAACACAUCCUAUAAUAUUCAGCAGUAAAAUAAGGAUCAAUGAAAUCAUACACAUCAAGUCUUGCNNNNNNNNNNNNNNNNNNNNNNNNNNNNNNNNNNNNNNNNNNNNNNNNNNNNNNNUAUAGCAGCAAGUGCAUGAGCGCAUGGGAAGCAAUUAAUCUGCCACUUCACACAUGAACAAGUACGAGUAGAGAGGUCCACUGAAUAUGAGUACUUAUCAUUCCUAACCUCAUAAACAUUUUCAUGGGAAGCAAUCACCCUGAACACACGAGACCUAUCAAGCUGCUCUUUCAGCCUCUUCUCCAUUUUAGGAGUAAGCUUGGUAGUCCAAGAUUUCGACUCAACACUCCUUUCUGACAUAGUCUUCAUUUCUUUCAUUCUUGUUUGAUCUAACAUAGCGAAAGGGGGCAAUGAACGCUCAGCAACAAUCCAGUUAUUGAAGGAUUCAGCAAUACCAUUUGCCAUAAUCCCAUACCGACAACCUUUCACUACAAAAAAGAAUUCAGUUAGCCACCAAAAUUUGCCACGGCUCAGUUUUGCCGUCGCCGUUAGUCCAAUAUUUGCGACGGCGCAGUGACAGUAGACGUGUAGUCGCUAAAUUUAUACAACUUUGCGACGGCAACUGGUAAGCCGUGGCUAAAAAAUAUGAAAUUUGCAAUGGCAAACGAACGUCGUCGCAUUCUUUUUGAUUGAUAGCGACGGCAGGUUAAGAGCCGUGGCUAAAAAUGCGGUAUGACUAGGUUAAAAUUUUUUGUACCCGUUUGAGAAUUGCAGUCGUUUCUUUCUCUCUCUCUCGCUCUCCCAAAGCCGCAUCCCUCUCCCUCGAUCUCAUCGAAAGUCUGAAACCCUAUCUCUUAAUUCCCUCUCUCUCUCNNNNNNNNNNNNNNNNNNNNNNNNNNNNNNNNNNNNNNNNNNNNNNNNNNNNNNNNNNNNNNNNNNNNNNNNNNNNNNNNNNNNNNNNNNNNNNNNNNNNNNNNNNNNGGGAUCAGCUUGACAAGAUGCCCAUGACCAAGGAGAAGGGUUCUGGUUCACGUGUAAGGUAAGCUUAUUUGGUGUGAACACAGUUUGAGCUUUUGAUUCAUGGUAAACUUGAUUUAGUGUUCAAUAUAUAUGAACGGUUUACAUUCUUUAUGCCAAUCAAGAUUCAUGUUUGAGUGAGGAAUAUAUAUGAAUGAUUUUAGAUCUGUUGAGUUUUUCCUUGGCAGUAUUUUUUUGAAAGGUUUGGCUUUCUAAUAUUUUACGCUUUACUAGCAACGAGGUUCUAAUAUUUUGCUUCUUAUUAUUGCUCUUGGUUCCAAUUACUGCUGCAAUUCUUGUAUGUACGUUGUUCAUGUUUAUUAACCCUUGUUUGGAUUCAGCUGAAAAAUAUAUGUAUUAGUAACUUAAGGUGUUAAUUUGGUAGGGCUUGCUCUGAAUUUAUUCUUUGUUAAGAUAGAAUUAUGCUUUGUGAAAAUUGUGAUUUUACCCGUUGCCUACUGCCCCAAGAUUGUUUAAUGGUGUUUAAACCCCUUAAAAAUAUAUUCCAGGUUUUAGUGUGUUAUGUUUGUGAGGCCUCUGAUGGUUUUGUGCAUUCUGGAGGAAUAUAGGUGCAUUUGAUACAAUGAAGGAGAAUGGUGGAGCAGUUUGAGAAAAGUUCUUAUGGUCUUAUGGUUCUCGCUCCUUGCGAGACAUAAGCACGAGAAGAAGUGAGUAUCCCUGACAUUUUAUAUAUGAUAGAAGAGUCAUUUGAGUAUGAGAUUUACAGAUGCAAUUGGUAUGUAAAUUUUAAGAUCUUUACAUGUUGAGGUGAAUUCAUAAGAUCUUUUGUAAUUGGUACAUACAUAUUAAGAUCAUAAAGAAUCUGCUCAUAAGAUACUUCAAUGAGGUGAAUUCAUUUUUUCUGUGUGUAGCGCCUCUUUGUUUCGUUAUCUUUGCAUAUCUCUCUCUUAGUGAUUGAACCACAUUGGAAUUUACUUCUAUAAUAUUUAUGUGUAUCUUAUACCAGUCAUAUGACUUGCUUGCUACUUUGAUUCUUAUUUAUGAAAUUCGCAAGUUGGAUAAUUGGUUGAUAUGGUAGAUAUGUACAAUGAAGAUCUUUACACCCUACCUGAUAAGGAACUAUCUUCUGGUGUUAUAGCAAGUUCCACCAACUUAUCUAAUAAAAAGGUAUUGUGGCAUAUCUCUUCUUUAUUUCUUCUUUGUUUCGCUAUCUUUCCAUAUCUCUCUCUUAGCGAGAGAGGCACAUUGGAAUUUAUUUCUAUAAUAUUUAUUGUAUCUUAUACCAGUCAUAUGACUUGCUUGCUAUUUUAGUUUGAUUCUUAUUUAGAAAUUCACAAGUUGGAUAAUUGGUAUUUUCUCUGGACUAAACAAUUGAAACUUGGGUGAAUAGUUAAAUUCAGUCCUUUCUGACUGAAUUUUCUUGCAAUUGGUACCUUUUCUACCAUACUGAGAUAAGUAAUGUAUGCUUAGUCAUUGUCAUGCCAUAUAGAUUUUGCUGCUUUAAGAACUUAUUCCUCUCUAUCAUGUCUCAGAGAUUCAUUGUUAGUAAAUUCAAUAGCUGAAGUUCAAACUUCCCAAAUAUUCAGUCUGAUAGAUGUUUUAACUGAACUUUUCCUUUCAGGUUUGACAAAGGUGCAUGUGGUCAUAUGUAUUUGAGAUAGCUACGAUGUUCAAGAUGUAUAUGACACUGAUGGAAGCCAAGCAAUAGGUACCAAAGAAUCCCUAUUGCUGGUAUAGUGAUAUACAAUUGAAACUUUGGCUUAGUUGGUUGCACUUAGUUGGUUUUCUGUUUGUGUCAAGGAACUAAUUGAUAGAAACACUUAGAUCUUGAUGUGUUUGUAUUAAUAGUUCUGUUGUAAGAUUGGUAGUAAUUUAGAGACAUUUAAUUCAGUGUAACAAUUCUUGUUCUAAUAUGUUUAAUUUCUUUUUGCACAGCUUUUGUCCAAAAAAAAAAAUGAAAAUCUGGCCAGCUAAUAUGCUUGUCAGAUAAUUUUUUUUUAAUUCAUAAAUACAACUUUGCGACGGCCUUUGCAGUCGCUGCAUGCCGUCGCUACCAUUUGGCAAUGGCUUGUUGCCGUAGCCAAAAGCAACGGCCACGCCCUCAACGGCGACGGAAAAAAUGCCAUCACUAAGCCGUCGCCGUUGCUUUUUUGCCACGGCAAAAUGGCUUUUGGCGACGGCAUUUUGCCGCGGCUAACUGAAUUUUUUUUGUAGUGUUUAAAAAAGCACGGCACCAAUGUUCCAAUGGAAUCUCCCUUAUGAAUUCAUCAAUAAUAGUAGCACCACCCUCCUCUCUCAAAUUUUUUAAAUGAAAGUAGAAAGACUUCUCAGUCGAUGCAUAAGCCACUUUAAAGAAUUUUUGUAACACAUCAGCAACAAAAAUUUCCCCUCCUUUGUUCUUAUACUUUCGACUAAGGUUGUAUCGUAAAUGAUGAUAACAGUAAAGAUGAGGAUUACCAGGAAAAAUGAGAUCAAAUGCCUUCAACAAACCAACACCACGAUCACUNNNNNNNNNNNNNNNNNNNNNNNNNNNNNNNNNNNNNNNNNNNNNNNNNNNNNNNNNNNNNNNNNNNNNNNNNNNNNNNNNNNNNNNNNNNNNNNNNNNNNNNNNNNNNNNNNNNNNNNNNNNNNNNNNNNNNNNNNNNNNNNNNNNNNNNNNNNNNNNNNNNNNNNNNNNNNNNNNNNNNNNNNNNNNNNNNNNNNNNNNNNNNNNNNNNNNNNNNNNNNNNNNNNNNNNNNNNNNNNNNNNNNNNNNNNNNNNNNNNNNNNNNNNNNNNNNNNNNNNNNNNNNNNNNNNNNNNNNNNNNNNNNNNNNNNNNNNNNNNNNNNNNNNNNNNNNNNNNNNNNNNNNNNNNNNNNNNNNNNNNNNNNNNNNNNNNNNNNNNNNNNNNNNNNNNNNNNNNNNNNNNNNNNNNNNNNNNNNNNNNNNNNNNNNCCGCUGCACCGCUAACGGGAGCGUUCCGCUCCAAAAACAUAACAUGUACAACUAAAAACAUGAAAAAAUUACUAACAAUUACUAGGGGUAGUAAAAUAACAGGAGGUACCUUUGUUUCCAUUUCUUCUAGUUGCAGCAAGAAUCUGCCCCUUGUAUUUGUUUUUCCAAAGGCUCAACAUAUAAAACAGGUAGGCUGAACUUGAAACCCUGCAUUUGGCCGGCAUAAGCUACAAAAACCCUUUUAAACCUCUCGGUACUCUCAUCAACUUCAAGAACAACUGAAGAACCCGGAUUAGUCUCCAACACAGCUUUCCUAAACCCGCUUAACAUAGAAAACGAAUCACAUUCCGAGCCAUACAUCUUUUCCACACACCUUUUUUUAGCUCUUGAAGCAACCUUAUAACAAAUUUCAUAACCAUAAGUGGACUUGAAAUUGCUCAUGAUCUCACGGGGCUUCAAACCAAGAUUCAGACAGACAGUAGACUCAAUGCAGGUCGUAACAAUUUUAGACCGUAAUUGCCGAUGAGAACGAUUCCUUAUCAUACCUCUGCAUGUAUGAACAUUAUUAAACCGCGUAAUGUAAAAGCACUGAUUAAUAGAAGCAACAGAUCCAAGUACUUCCCAGCCACAGUGGUCAACAUCACGAUUUGCACAAACAACAUUAACGUAAAUUGAAUCAUUCCUAGAUAGCACAUAAUGGAAACCACUUUGAACAGCAAACUUCCUCAGUUUGUCUCUAAAGUCUGCAAUGCUCUCAAACCUCUGCCCAACAUGUGACAAAUAUGAACCCCAUUCAUCCGACAAAAAACUCUGAGGUCCAUCCUUAAAAGCAUCACCUAGAUAGUCAUUCUCAUCUAUCAUCUCAACACAAUCAUCAACCACUACACUAGUUGAUGAACAACUUUUCCCGACAUCCUUGACUACUGUCACUACUACAUUAUCCAUAUGAUAAAUUUUUGCACAGCAGAAGAGCAUCUUAAAAUUAGAUUCAUUAUCUAAAUAGAUGGCAGAACAAGCAGGCGAUGAAUACUCAAGGUGAAAAGAAUCAUUGGACGAAAACUUAAAUCGUUUUCGGAUGGAUUGAAUAAGGUCUUAAUAAUUCAUGAGCUCAUUGAGGAGAAGGACAAAGCCAUUGCCAGAAAAAACAAAUUGAACACACAAAGAACCAACAGUGCUCCUGCAAAAAAAACAAAACCACACAGGUCCAUAAGUUACUACCCCCAGUAAAUGUCAAUUUCUACAAAAACAGAUUAAAAAACAUAAGUAAUAUGCUAGAAGUACAAACAAUAAGCAAUGAAAACAACAACUAACCACAAUUAAAAACAAAAACACACAGAUCAUAAUAUUACUACCCCCACUAAAUGUCAAUUUCUACAAAAACAGACUGAAAAACAUAAGUAAUAUGCUAGAAGUACAAAAAAAGCACAGCAAAAACAUUAAAAACAACAAUAAGACAUAGAUCGCAAACAUUACUACCCCCAGUAACAAGUCCAAAAAAUCCAGAAAUUUUCGAAACAACAUGCAAACGAAGCGCAUUCANNNNNNNNNNNNNNNNNNNNAAUGGAUCUCGUCUGGUAUAUAUAGUCCACAGGUGAGGGUAUUUUUGACAAAAAAAAACUGUUAAAAGUGGGCCCAUUAGAAAAGUUUUGUCCAAUAAGACACAUUUCACACACCUUAUAUUGAAGUGGGCACAUUUCUUUUAAAAACAUUUAAAUGGGCAAAAAGAAGCUUAAAUUAGUACUAAAAUGUCAUUUACUCAAGAAACAAUACAAUCAUUAAGUUAUACUUUGCGUCUGUUAGUUUUAUCGAGUAUCAGAUACUUUCAAUGAUUCAUGUGGUAGUAAUAAGCAGCUGACUUUGGAUGAAUCUAACAACGGUUGGGUAAUGCGUAAGGACCGAGCCAUAGAUUUCUAUCUUUUUUCUUCACAAAAUUCGUUAGUACCAUUAUGAACAUCGGUUUUCUUUUUAUAUAUUGUGUUGGAACAACAGUUUGUAUUGGUCCUUAAAAGAAAAAGAAAAAUAGUUUCUAUUAGUUUGAAACAUCUUUGGUUCUUUUAUUGUAAUUGUUGUUUUUUUUUCUCAUAUGACCAUUAGAAAACACCAUUCUUAAAACUCGUCUCAGAUCUCCAAAUUUCAAGUGUCGCUAUUUAUCCACGUAUUUGCCUAAAAUUCUUCUACGCACCGAGGUGCAAGUGAACCGAAUAACUAACAUGCAAUAUUUUGAUCCGUUCAUCCAAGUUGCAAUAUCAUGCAUAUAUGAUAAUAUCGUUAACAAAAAUGAAACCCAAAAAAAUAGUCAUAAAUGCUUCUGACACAGGCGGUGAAGACCCAAGGUCGAAGAAGAGAAACUCUUAUUAUGAGCGCUUAAUUUAAUCGGAUUAAAAAUGAAAAUGAAAUGAAGAAAUUCAAUCUUCCCAUACGGAAAUUUGAGGACUUGCACAUUGAUGCGUAGAUUCCGCUCAACAUAUUUGCUGUCUUCAUAAGUAUGUUUACUAAAACAUUAAUUGAUACUUAACUGAUAAUUGUUUGAUUUUGAGCAUAAAAAAUGACAUGUGAGUCAUGAUCUUAUAUUGUUAAUUGGACAACGAGAGUACUUAACAAGACAUCGAUAUGAUAGUUUAAUGAUUAAAGAUUAAUGAUUUGCUCAAUGUACAUGUGAUAUCCUGGCAUAUCCUGGAAUAUCGCAUCAGUUGUGCAUUGAGGCUGGAGAUGGUUACUUAAAAACAAACUAGAUAAACUCAGACACCUAUAGGCAUAGGCGGAACCAGAUUAAUAUCUUGAGGGUCUAGGAAGUGGGAGCGGAUUUUACGAUUAUGGGAAGAUCGAAUAAAAAUUAGAGACCGUAAAUUCUUUCAUUUCAAUUUCAUUUUUGAUCCGAUCAAAUUAAACGCUCAUAAUUAGAUUCUUCGACUUAGUGUUCUCACCUCUUUAGUUGGAAACAAUUGAGACUAUUUUUUAAGUUUUAAUUUUGUUAACGGUAUUAGUAUAUAUGCAUGAAGUGCGACAUAGAUAGCCGGAUCAAAAUACUACAUAUUAGUUGAUUGGUUAGCACCUUAGGUAAGAAAAAUCCCUAAUAUUAAAAAAAAUUGUGUAAUCACACUUUUUUGUUAUUUAGUGAAGGGUCUACUAUGGGGGCGCUCAAAUCAAAUGGGCUGCAAAAUGAACUUGGGGCUGAUGGGGCGUGUGUGCUUUUUAUAAAUUUGGGAGUGAUGAUACCCAUCCUCUUUAUGGCCUCCUUACAGUGUGCAAAACUCUUUGGUUGAGGAACUGAAAUUGCUCUAUUGUUCAUAUUUACAAUGAAUGCAAUAUGUCGAUAGAUGGCUUAGCUCAUUAUGGGCACUCUUUGAACUUGGGACACCAUUUUUUUGAGAAUCCACCUCCUUGUAUUUUGGGCAGGAUUCAAGAAGACAAAGAUGGUCUUUUAUGAUCGAGUCUUGUUAUUGCUUAGUUAGCUUGUUUUUUGGGGCUCUUAGCCCCUCCUUGUAACAAAAAAAAAAAACUUUGGGAGUGCGCAAAUGGUCUCGUUCUGAGAGAGAAUGAGCACGGAGAACUGCUUCAAGCCUAAUCUGGCGGUGAUACUUGUUAAGUUUCAGCUUGGGGAACUAAUGGAGGUUCCGAUUACCACUAUGAAGACUCCCAAGAAGAGGGGUCGCCCUAAAGGAAAGCGGAACAAGGCUACGACCCAAGCUGAGGAGAUAGUAGGUGAGGAGGACAAUUUGGUGCCGAGGUUGUUGGAAGAGGAAGUGACCCUAACAAAUACUAACUCCGACCCUCUGGGGAAGGAGAAGGUAUUUGGGUAGGGAUGAUAAACAAGGCAUUAUGGACAAAUGCUGGAUUGCAGCAAGUAUAACUUCUAUAAAAAAAAAAAAAAUCUAAGACACUUUAGUUGAUAGUUGUACCACAAUUGCGUGAUUGACAGAUUAGACUAGAUGAUUAUUACGUAUUCUUAGAAGGGUGAGGUUUUGCUUGCUAAUUUUUGGCUUGUUGUUCAGUGAGUGAGCAAUUUGUUUUCAAUGAGAUUUGGAUGUGACUUCGAUAGGUUACCCGGUUUGUCCUAGAUAUUCCUUAUGUAAGUUUCUCAAACUCUAGCUUGUUUCCAUAAGUUGAUAUUUAAUGAAAUCAACAUUUUUCAAAAAAAGAACUUGAAGUCAUUUUGUUGAUCAAAUAAAUUAUAGCAUAACAAAACAUACAUGACUCACCCUUGUGGGCUACGUAAAAAUCGAAUCAUGCCAAAAUAAACUAUGAAACUCAAGCAAAACCUAAGGGCAUGUCCGGUAACGUUUUUGAAAACGAUUUUCAAAAAUGAUUUCUAAAAGUAAAAUGAGAAAGUGAGAUUGCUAUUUUCUAUUUUGAAAAUGUAUUCGGUAAAUUAUUGUGAAAAACUAGGAAAAUGAAAAAAUGAAAACGUCAAUUUUUGCAAAAGUUGAAAAUAUUUUCAUUUUUCAUUUUCUACGUUUUCAAAAAUGUCUCACCGAACACAUUUUCAUUUUUAAAAAUAAAAAUACAAGCAUGAAAACGUUACUGAAGACCACCUAGGCACCUCAAACCAUCUUAUUGUUGCUAACCCUACAAUGGGCAUUUUGAUCAAUAAACAAUAGCUGUCGGAAUAAUCCAACGUAUUGGAAAGCCCCUAAGACCAUUUUACGCUGAGGAACCAUCCUAGGGUUCAACAGAGCAGUAGUUACCCCAAAAUCAAAGCCCAAGGUACACUGCACAUACUGCAACUUUAGUGACUAGAGCAACAAGAUUCAAAGCCCUGUGGAAAAGCAUCAACCCUAGCAAUAAAGCAGACCCAAGGCCCAAUACCAUCAGACCCGGCCCGAAAUGGCAACCACCACCUAUAAGCAAAUCGUCGCCGCCAUACGACCUUGCCUCAUCGUCGCUACCCUUGAAAUCACCGACUCUAGCAGAGGAGCCACCACCCCGAGCACAAUCUUUGCCCCAAAAAAAAGAAUCCAACAACGACGUUGCCCUAAAAGUGAAUUCUAUCUCAUCCACAUAUACAUGUAAUAGUCAUUUCGACCAUAACCACUAAUACAUUUUUAGUAGGCAUCAGUACUAAAAAAUUUGUAAGUAAAACUGCAAAUUUUUGGUUGAUCAAAUUAAUGGCUGACAAUGAUUAACAUGACAAACAUAUAAUUGGAUUAUUUUGGUUCAAAAAACAAACUGUCAUUCAACAUAACCAAGCGUUAAGCCCUGUUUGGUAUAGCUUCACUUUUAAAAUAAAAAUAAAAAAUAAAAAUAAGAUUUGAUCUGUACAUUUAAUAGUGUUUAGUAAACUAAAGAAAAUUAGUUUUUUUUAAAAGUAAAAAAUUUUUUUUUAAAAAACAAAAAUUACAGCUCAUUGGUGGCGAUGGCAGCAGCUUUUAGAAUCAACCUUGAGGUUGUUUUUAGAAGCUGAUGUCAUUAAAAACACUAAAAAUUAAUAUAUUUUAUCUUGGUAUCACUUUAAAAACUAAUAUUUACCAAACACAAAAUUAAUUUAAUUCACAGCUGAGUAUUUUUGAAGUACAAUAACAACAAUUUUUUUUUAAAUCACAGUAAUACCAAAUUAGCCCGGAGACAAAUUCCCAAACAAUGACAAGUCCCGAUAAAAACAAGCAUAAUGGAUUGAUACAAGCACAAAAAGUUGGCUCACAGUUGUUUAUUCAACUCUCUUAUCAAUUAUCUAAUUUAAGAGGCACUAUAAGUAGAUGAGUCACAUACAAGAAUUAAUACAACCUCCCCACUUCUUUUUCUAAUCUUGAUCAAUUGAUUUUAGCAGUUUUCAUGCUCCAUGCACUUCCUGCGAUUUUGACACUCUCACUUCCAUAAUUGAAAGCAUAUAAAUGGGUAUCACCAUCAACAGCCAAUGUAGGAUACACCCUAGCUGUUAUGCACGCCUUGCCUUUUCCACCAAAACUCUCCACUAUAGAGUGAUCAAUCUGCAACAUUUUCAAGUGUACGUGUGAGAGAACAAGUUUGUUUCAUGAAUCGGGUAUAAUGAAAAAGAGUGAAGAGAGCCAUCCAUAAAGUGCUAUGUUAACAACUGUAGAAAAAGAAAGUGCCAUGCACAAUAAUGUGCACAGAAAGUGGGAUGGACCUUUUUCGUAUUUGCUUGCUACACAUCAUUUACCUCAUCUCGAAGAACUAAAUUGUUUUGAUUAGAGGGAAUGAACAACUGUAUAGUUUUUAGAAAGGAUUAAUAUCGGUUUACCCCAGUAAGAUUUGUGUGUAAUUUUAUUUCAGUUCAUGUUCUCUUAAUUUUAAAAAUUUACAUUCUGAAUUUUUCAAAUUUCGGCAAUCUUGCCCAUUUGCUAAAAUUAUGUCUAAUUUGGAAGUAAAUGCUGACAUAGGGCACAGUUAAAGAAAAUUAGAAAAUUCAAGAGGUAAAUUUUUAAAAUUAAAAGAAUAAAGAUUGUAAUGAAGUUAACUGGAGAACUCAAGAAAGUUAAAAUAAUUUAAACCUAGGUGUGAAUCGUGAAAAAUAACCCAUUUGUCCAUGAUCACCUAAAAACAUACAAUACGAGUAUUCUGAAACGCAUACAGCAUAUAGAAGUGACUCACAUGCUAAUGUGUUAGGUCAAGCUAGCUUUAUAAUCAAUUUUCUGGUAAGUUAACAUAAUUGUUGCUAUAUAUAAUUUCUAAGAAAUUGAAUACGAUACGGAAGAUGUAAAAGUCCAAAGGCAGCCUAAGUAGUUGCGUGAAUGUUCAAAUUUCAAGGAAAUGUGUAGAUUCUCAAAAUAUUUGAUGCAAAUUUCUGGUGGAUAAGACUUUUAAACUGGAAGACUAUGGAAGUCAUGACUCAUGAUAAUAGAAAGACUUGACUUUUCAAUAAAGAAAUAGGAGUCUAUAAGUUGUGCUUCAUAGCAACUUACCAAGCUUCUCAGUGACAACUUCUCAUAAAGAGGAUCCACAUUUACAAAUGCUCCAUAAGUUGUCAUAUCAUUAUCUGGGUUUAGAGAAGACCUACCAGAUAAACAAAAAGAAAUAAGAUAUGGGUUGAAAAGAGAUAGACAUGAUCAAGAAAAUGAUAGAGAGAGCCAGAUACCUGCUUUGGUCACUGCACAUAAGAACCACAUAUUUGUUGUUAUUGUUGUGAGACUUGAAAAUUCUAUAGAAGAUUGCUGUCUUUUCUUUCAAAUCCUUUGAAACAAAUGCCAACAAUCCAAAUGGUCCUAGAGCCCCUUUCACUGAGGUACCCUUUUUACUACACAAAAGUUGUGCAUUAGUCCAACUUGGAUCCGUAACUUCUGCUUUCUUGAGAUCACUUAUCUCAAAUGCGACAUCUACAUCGGCCUGUAAAAACAAAAAAAGAACACCUAAAGUUUAAAAAAAUUAUUCCAACAAUGUGAGAUUUAUUCAUUUUGUGCUCUUUAACGCGUGACAGAAACUCAUUUCGCUUAACUUAAUUAGAAACAAAUAGAAUGAUAGGAUAGGCAUACCUGUGCUGCUGUGACACCAAUGACUUCAUGAAGUGAUCCUCCUUUAAGGAGAGUGCUUGGUAACUUAACCUCCUUUGUUCUAAGUUUCUCAAGCUCUACUACAGGCCAUUGCACCAAUUGCUUUCCAGAUUUGUCGAGCACAAUAGUCCUUGGAAUUGCCUACGAGAGUACAGCCAAGAUGAAUACAAUAAGUCUAAAUUCUCAAGCGAGCUCAUUGAAGACUAACUUAAUUGAAUAGUAGCCAUUACUUAUCUACACCAUUGACCAAUUGUUAAAUGUAAUUGGCUAAUAUCUAAGCAUACGAUUAUAAAUAUAAGUAAAUAAUACCUGGAGUCCAGACCAUCCUUUCUUGAUAUCACCACUAACACUUGAGGACUCAUUGAUCCAACCCCACAAGAUUCGGCGGUUCUUUGCACUGUCAAAGAAGGUUUUUGAAGCAUAAAACUUACCAUAAUCAUAUCUCAAACCAGAAUCACUCUCAAUUGAUCCAUCAUCUGGGAUAUAGAUAUCCUUGCUCACAUUAUAUGUACCAAUUGUGUAGUACUCUUUCCUAGUGUUGUCCAAGCUAACUUUAAGUACAUGCUUAACAUCCGGACCAAUUGCAGAUGUGUCAAGACCAAGCAACUUAGUCUUCGAAACUGGGAAAAAAUCAGGGCAUUCCCACAUACCAUUUUUCGGUGUUGAAUAUAAUGGAUGUUUAGCCUUAGUCCAAUGCAUGAAAUCUUUGCUUCUGUAGAGGAUAGCUAGUCCCCUUUGGUUCCUUUUGCUUCCAAUGAUCAACCUCCAUCUCUUAUCUGGCCCUAGCCAAGCAGUGGUAGGAUCCCUAAAUGAGCUGGCAUUGAUUUGGUUAGCUUGAGUUGGAGCCAUUAGGGGGUUUUGUGGGACUUUAACCCACUCCCUAAGAAACGGGUCGGAAAGGUUUUUUGGAAAUGCCAAGUUUUGAACUUGUUCUUUGUCGGGGUUGAUUCCGGUGUAUAAAAUGGCCGGCUUUCCGCCGGGAAGGAUUGUGACGGACCCCGACCAACAGCCAUUGAUAUCAGAGAGAAUUGAUGGGUAGAUAGCAGCUUCAUGUGGAAUCCAGUUGACGAGAUCAGUGGAUGUGGAAUGUGCCCAAACAAUGUUACCCCAAACUACACUGCUGGGAUUGUAUUGGUAGAAUAGAUGGUAAAUUCCCUUGUAAAUCAGUGGCCCUGAAAAGAGAGUGCAAUAGGCAAGACGUAAGUAGAAGGUGUGGCCAAAAAUAAAAGGACCAAGCAUAUAAUCCACCAACGAGUAGUGUCUGACUUGUUAUACCAUAUUCGAUCCCCACACAUAAUCACAUCAAUGCAUUACAUUUACUUCCAUUGAAAAUGAAAACCAAGGCACCAUGCCAGAAAAUAUAAUGAACCAAACAAAAGAUCGACCACUGUAGAAAAUAUAACUCAGGGAGGGAGAAAGUAACUAACCAUUUGGAUCUGUGAGAAACCAAAGAAGCCACAACAUGUCCAUUUCCACAGUCAUCACAAGUCAAAUAUGAAAAACAAGGAGCAAAGAACAAACUGUUAAGAGUUGUAUAAACAAUAAACCAAGACAAAGACAGGUGAAAGAAGCUGAAGAAAAUGCAGAAAAUGAAAAAAAGCAGAGAGAAGAUUCAAGGUAAGUUGAAGAUACACAUACCAUUGAUCCAAUUCUUGCGAGGCUGGAAAUGAUAACCGGUUCUGUAAGGGUCUUUAGCUUGGGGAUGUGUUGAAGUAAGUUGGGUAGUUUGAAGGUUGCUAUAGACAUGGUGGGAAGCUUGAAGCUCAAUAACACCAUAAGAAAGCAAAAGUGAAAGAAGGCAGAAUUGCCAAAGAGAGAAUAUCAUCAUGGCUCUAUUGGCUUAGUGGGGGUUUGGAAAAAUGGUACUCUAUGUUGGGUAUAUAUAGGCCAGAAACAGUACUUGUCGAAUGAAGUGAUCUUUUGUUUCGUUUUUUUCUCUUUUUUUCUUCUUCUUUGGUGGAAGUCAAGGAUGGAGGGUUCUACGGAGAUCGUUAGAGGUGAAACACAGGAUAAACAUCCCAGCAUACAAUCUAGCAAGUUUGUGAUAGUAUAGAAGAAUUUUUUAGAAGAGAAGGAUCCUGGAAAUGUGGGAAUUUUGGUUGAAGAUAAAUAACUGGCAAACUACAUAAUUUGGAAUUUGGAUCAGCAAAAUAAUGGUCAAAGGUCAAAGAGCAGAAUUUUUUUUUAUUUUUGUUUUGGCCGAAGUUAAUUCAUUUCCCGUGUUGGCUUCCUGCACAAUGAAGAAGACAAAUCAAAUGUCUAAUCAAAUUUUUUUUUACGUUGAAUGCCACCGUCCAUUCUUUUUCUUCAUACCAAAAAGAAGUAAACCUCAAGCUAAAUAUGUACCACGUUAACAACGUAAACCAUGAGAAUCAAAAUCAUAGAAGUUUUAAAUACACACUCAAAACUACACAUCCUGUUUUUUUAUAUUUCAAAUUAGAUUUAUAGGUAUGUUACAUUAAAUGGUCAAAACAUACUUCUGUAAUAAUUAUGAUGUUUCACCUUGGCAACAACACUAUAGAGACGUUGAUCAUGCUUUUGAGACGAGAAAUUUCCUUUACAGCGGCUUACAGCAUUUUGACGGGUUCCUCUCUAUUAACGUCUAUUGGAUCGACUGUUAUUCAUGUAGUGUCGGUGGAUCCAGCUCUUGUUAGAGAUGUGGUGACGGCGAAAAAUACUUAUGGUCAGAAAGAGGAGUUGGCAUGGCUCUAAGUUGCUUCGUUAAGCGUGCUCGGAAUGAUGGUCCUAAUACGGUGGUCUGCCCGCUGGUGCUUGAGUUCACGUCAAAGUUGGCUCUUCCACAUGGAGCUGGGAUGAUCAAGGUGUCUCCAGCCAAAAAGAGAAAGAUUGGGAGGCCGCUGGGAUAUGAAGUUGAGUGUUGUUUUUUUGGGUCCUAAGAAAGCUAAGAAGAGGAGUUAUUGGAGUCAAUAGACAUUGUUUGUUGGAGAGAUUUCCGGUGGUGAGACUAGUGGUGCUUUUGAUGGUGAUGCAUUGGAGGAGAAGACGGUUGAAUUACAUUUAUCAUAUUAUUUGAUCAUUUAAAAUAAAAGUUAACUAUAAAUUUCAAUGGUUGAGAUUACUUGAUAAAUUUUAAGUACUAAAUCAUAACUCCCUUCUUUAUGGUACUCAAUUAAAGAAAAUCUCGCAAGAUUCCUUAACAUAGAAACCAUCAAAAGCGAUAGAUAGUACAGCAGCACAUCAUGUGCUCAACCUGAUGAUUUCCCUUGUGUUUCACUCAAGAGAGGCUGCUCUGAAACAUUGUACUUGAAUCCAGAGAGAAUUUAAUUUUCAAGUCAACCCACUAUCGUCUUUAGAAUUUAUACUAAUAUUAGGACACUGUACAAUACUCGGUCCCUAAAUUUUCUACGAAUCUCUAAGCUAGUAACUUCUUUAAUGCUCACUGUCGAAAAAAAAACUUCUUUAAUACUCUAGUACUUGAUGUAUCUCUUCCGAUCACUAAGUACUACUAAUUGUUUAAUAACAUCUCAGCUGGUUUAAAUCCUCUCGUCUUUGAGUAUGCACGCGUAUUAUGCGAGCUUUUAGAUUCUUAAUCUGAACGAAAAGCAAUUAGCUUAGCAACAUGUAUGUAUGGAUCCAGUUACCUAAUCCACUUAUCUUAUCAGUUAAAAAAAAUACAUAAAACUUAAUUUGCUCUAUGCACAUCGAUCUUUGAAUCUCAUAGAUCUUUGAAUCUCAUACAUUAGCUUUGAAUUGAGGAAAUAUAGAGACGUAGGGAACUCUAAAAGUUCUAGAUUUUGACAAUGGAGUCUAGUACUGGUCAUCGAUCUAUUAUUCUGUUUACCCCAAACCUAAUUUGAACAUGGUAGAGGAAUCAUGUCGAUGAUGAUACAUUAAAAUUAGAACUUACCCAAAGGGAAAAGAAAAACUUGGACACGACCUUAAAGAUCUUAAAGACCUUAAUGUCGACAGACAUGACAUUAAUCUAAGUCGAUUCUAUGCUCCACUCUAUGAUUAGAUUCUUAUUUGCACAAUAGUACUGAUGAGCAUUUGUAGACACUAACUAAUAACUAAUCAAUGGGUUUCAUAAUCACAUUGAUGAGUUCCACGAGUGACUCAUGAACAAAGAUGUUGCCUUUUUAGUGCUUUGUAACAAGCAUUACGUGUUACAAUUUUUUUGUUUGUUCAAAUGCCUUUUUGACUAUGUCAAUAAUCAAUGGACUUUUUUUUGUUGAAUAUGAAUCACAAUUAUUUAUCGAGAAAUUUUAUUAACACAUCCCUAAUUACUAUAUACACAUCUUAUAUUUAAUACACCAUCUAUUAAUUUUCUUAUUUUAACAUUUGACUAGAUACACAUUUUAAACUUCCUACAAUACCCUCAUUUAACAUACAUAACUUGUUCACUAAAUUUAAUAUACACAACUUAUACAUUAAAUACACAACUCAUUCACUACACAUAAUUUUCUAGAUCGGUUACUCAAAUUUUUUUCUUAAAAAAAAAUCACAUUACUAAGAUUUUUCUCAAAAUGUUUCAUAUUUCCUCGUACUGUUUCACCUCAUUAACAUAUUCUUCAAAUGUAUUUAAUUUUUCUCUAAAGCAUUUCACCUUGUUAAGAUCUUCCUCAAGGGAUUUCAUUUUGUUAACAUCUUCUCCUAUCAGUUUUCCUCGACAAUUUUUAUUCCCAAAUAGCCCCUCUUACUCAAAUUGAUUCUAAGAUUUCUUGAGCCUACUGAAUCAAAACAAAACAAAACAAAACAAUACAUCAUCAAAGUCCUUAACGGAACUUUUAGCAUUAGAAUGAAUUAAUCGAUUCUUGGGAACCAUUGCAUAAUAUUCAUAUGUGGUGUCAAAAUAUUGGUACUCGAUUCAAGUUAAAAAUUAAAAAAUGUUUGAAGUACAAUAGUUAAUAUUAACGUUUUAAACAAUAUAUUUUAUUUCAACUAAGUUUCUUUACUUUUGAUAUGAAUGUAUUUUUUGGUAAUUUUACAUACCUAUAAAGUCUUAUAUAAUUUGUAUAAAAAAAGAGAUGUGUAUAUAGCAUUUAGGGAUGUGUUAAUAAAAUUUCUCUUAUUCUUUUUUUAGGAAAAAUUACUAUAUUAUAUAAUCCAAAGUUACAACUAAUGAUUACAGUGGACAAGAACCGAAAUGAGUUCAACCAUAAAACCUACCAAAUCCAGAAGCCUUAAUACAUUCUCACAGUCAACCUUAAGAAGAAACAACCAUUUCAAACACUAAGGCAACACAACAUGCUGUAGUAAAAAGGCAACAUCUUUGUUCAUGUCUCUGCCUUUUUCAGAAGGCACAAUUUCUAGGUUGUUCACAUCACUGCAUUCAGCAACCUCAGCAGAUUUAAACACCUGAUCUUGGAUGAUAAUAGGUUUUCGUACCUGAACUGAACUUUUUGGGGGGGGGGGGGGGGGGCGGCGCAGAAAAUCUUCGAACAGGAAGAAGAGCAGUUUGGUCUCCCAUCAAAGUGAAUUUCCCAUUGACCAUAUUUCGGCUAAACCCUAACCUAUUGCGGUCGCCUCUGAGCCAAGCGAAGUACGCGGUGGUACUGGUUUGGAGGCAGCAAGGCAGACGUCAUCUUUGUGAAAAAUCAAAGAGCUUUGCAUAAACCAACCAAAAUACCAAAUUAUCAUAAUAGAAGUGCAUUUCAGAUUCAAUGCAUGUCAAACUUGAUAAUAUUUCUAAAAUGUUAGGUUAUGUCAUGGCCGGGUGACCCUAACCCUAAUUUCCCUUUAGUUUCAAUAAAGGUUCAUCAAGUUAUUCAUAGCCUCUAGCCAUAGAAGAUAUAUUUUUGAUAGGGGAAAAUUUUAAGAACAUGACAAAUAGUCCACUCUUAUUUUGGUGUUUCAAGUUUCAAAACAAUCAUAACGGUACAUGAACUUGUAAUCUCAACCGAAAAUAUGUACAUACCGUUACAUUCUCCGUUAUCUAACGUGUUUUCAGUUAACUUUGAGGGGCAAAUCUAUCACUCCUUAAUUUAGCAGUAAUAAAUUAUUAAACUCAAUAAUUAAUAAGGAGAGGGAAAUAAGAAAGAAAAAAGUAUUGUUGUCUCUUUUUUUCGUCCCUGUUCAAACUCAGCAUACACAAAAAUGGUGAUCGAGGUAGGACUGUAGGAGGAAGUUGGAAGAUGAUUUGAUUUGGUAAGUUAUGGAAGAAAGGGUUUGAAUAUAUAUCAGUGGGCGGCCGGGUAUUGAGUAAGAAAACUUAGAGCGAGAAAGCUAUGUCCUAGUUUUACUUGAAUUGGGACAAGCAGCGAAGUAUUUUUUUUUAUUUUAUUUUAUGAAUAUGAGCUUUUCAUUAAAACCAAACCUGGUAACUUAAUUACAAAUACAACGAAUAGUAAGCAAAGAAACUGGCUAAGGGAAAACAACAAAGUUUUUGAGAAUAUAUGGUCUAAGUUUACAAGAUUAAAAAAGUAUAUAAAUAGAGAAAAAAAAAAAAACAAUAGUAUAAAGAAAGAGAGAAUGGAGAAAACCCAAAACCAUUAUUUAAAAAUAAGAAAUUAUAUAGAGUUAACGGUGUUAUUAACGGUAUGUGCUAAAAGUGUGACGACCUUUAAACAUCACGUACUAUUUUGAUUGUUUUGAAACUUGAAACACCAAAAUUGAUAAUGAACCGUUUGUCAUGUACUGUUUUUAAAAUUUUCCCUUUUGAUAGUAUGUCAAUGUUGAUAAUCAGGAGGAAAACUAGUCAUACGAACCCAGAAGAAGAGUUCAGUCAUAGGUACCUGAGAGAUGGGAGAAACUCCAUCAUAUAUUGGGAGAAUUAAUGAUGGGAGCUUUGUCAUACCUCCAAGGGCCUCCUCGCAUGACUUUGUUUCAGUUCGGUUUGAGGUCAAAAGUGAUCAAGAAACGAUCUUCAGUACGUUGUUCAACCCUAUAGCCUUUCUUCAAGACCCACAUACGGUGGAGAUCUCGCUUGAGAUCGAUCAUGAAGGUCGGGAGGAGGUUAAGGUCGAGCCAGUAGCUGUGGUGCCCGACGCCGGGGCACACCUCCUUCCAUGCAUCUUUGAGACGUCAAGCACAUCAUGAGGGCAAGGGAUUUUACAAAGGAUGCAGUGACAGCGUCAAUGGACAUGGUAGGAGAUUGGAGAGAAGGAGUGUCGAGAGGUUGAAGAAAAGGAUAAUACCCCAAGGGUGGAUUGGCAUCUAAGAUGAAAGCCUAGGGUUUUGGAGAGUACGGCUGCCGCUGUGCUAAAGGAAAGCAAAGAAGCGAGGUCCAUAGAUCUUGUGUAGGGAAUGACACAUAACCAAGUGGUUAAAACCACACACCAAUGUCGACACCUAUUUUGAUUUUUGAACAUGAAGGUACCAAAAUGCUUUUAUAUAUUUCAGCACCUUCUCCACGUACGUUAUAUGGAUGUAGAUGUCUAUCGACCAAACGACAUAUAUAAUCAAAGACCUGCUCGAUCCAUGGGUGUGAUGCUCCAUGAUUAUGGCCAGACUGGCUUGUUCUAUAAGGUUAAUUAACACUCCCCCUGAUCUAACCAAAUAAUUGAUCACAUAUUUCUUUAAUAUAGCUAGACCUCUCUAUAUAUCUCUCUUCAAAUCUAACAAAUUCUAUGGCAUUUGCUUCUAUUAUUGGUGUAUAUAUCAAAAUGAUAAAAGUAUACAAGUAUACAACCUUACGAAAUCGAUUGCGAUAAUGUAUUAUUGGUCUCGAGGGUUAAUUUGUCAGCUACAAGAUCGUAUCCAAGAUUGCUCGACAUGCUUGCGCGCAUGUCAGCCACUCAAUCACUUCAGUCUGGCUUCAGAUGACCAAGCUUUCAGUAUUAUACAUAUGGGAGGUAUCAAGCUGCAGUCUGCAUGUUUGAUUCACCUGUAUUCAUUCUUUCACGUACAUGUAUAAGGACCACAGCGUGCAGCUAGCUAAUACUUGAGAAUUAUCAUCAAUAUGUUUCCCUUUUCGCUGGGUCAAAUUUGAUUCACAGGCCAUGCCGGACAUUAAAACAAAACGAAACCCAGCUCAAUAUUGGCAUGAUCAGCUUAGUAUUAUUGUAUUUAUAUAGAGAUAUACACCAUCCCCAUACCUCAAAUAUGGGGCAACAUAACUGCAUAGUGCUAUCUUUUUCAUUUUUCUGUGGUUCAAAAAAAUACAACACGUUGAUCUGUCUUGUGUUUGUUAAUAUAUAUAGAACAAUAUAUUGUGUUUCAAAGAAAAUCGAUUAGGGAAUAAUGUGCUUUUCAUUUAGGGAAAAAGCCUUAAUGCACAAAUAGUAUCUUUUCCUAACCCAAACCAAUCAAAAACAGAUUACACAGCCCAAACCAAUGUUUCCUAGUAAAAAUACAGUUAUACUCCAGUCUUAAUAACCGCUUCCAACCCACUCCGAAUUCAAUUCCUUCAUCGACGCCACUCCGAAUUCAACAGUUCUCACCACUUCACUCCAUCGACGCCGCUUCGCUGCUUCAGUCAAUCGACGCCGAUUCGCUUCUUCAAUCCAUCGACGCCGCUGCCUCACUCCUCACUCCAUCAAGACCUCAGCACCCAUCCCCGCGCGCCGCUUCGCUGCUUCAGUACUUCACUGCCGCCGCUUCACUCAAUCGCCGCCGCUGCUUCACUCCAUCGCCACCACUAUAUCGCGCUAAAUUCUUCUUUUUCAGGUGAAAAGAAACCCUAGCAUAAAUCUGUGUUUGUACCCCUAAUAAUGUUGUCUGGGUUCAUAUUUCUCUGCUUCAAUGUGUUUUAUGGCAAUGUAGAAACGGUGUGGCAACUUUACUACCCCUAGUACAACUUUACUACCUCUAGUAAAACUUUACUAGGGGUAGUAAACUUUAAUUUUUGUUUGCAUGUCAGUUAUUUCCACUAUCUAGAUGUGUCUAAUGGUUGUGUUCAAUACUAGGGGUAGUAAAACUUUGAUUUUGUUGAAUGCGAGUUGUUUUCUAGGUCUGCAUGUGUAUAAUAGUGUUGGAAAUAGAAGUUUACUACCUCAGUAGAAGUUACAAGGGGUAGUAAAAUAAAGUUUUGUUUGCACAUCACUUGUUUCUCUUUCAGAGUGUAUAUUGGCCUUGGAGAUGUUCUAUUGCAAGUUUACUAUUGCAAGUUUACUAUCCCCAGUUGAAAUUUACUAGGGGUAGUAAACUUUUUAAUAUGUAGUUUAUAAAGACAGGAUCAGUAGGGGUAGUAAAACUUUGGUGUUUUGCAUAUGCAGGAUGGCACGAAGGCAACUUGUUACUAGUCCAGAGUCUGAGGAAACGUUCGUCAACACAAGCAUGAAAUUGCGCUCAUAUAUACAACGGGAAAAAUUGAAGGUUCCCCAAAAAAGAGCGAGACAAGAAGAAGAAGAAGAAGAAGAAGAAGUGGAACAAUAUUUUAUAGAGAAGAGAGCAUUAGAAGUGGCAGAAAUAGAGAAGGAUGACAAGGAGGAGGAGGAGGACGAGGAUGAGGACCUGGAAAAGAUUCCGCACACUCAACAGAAAUAUACUCUAGUAACAUUCUUCAAAUUAAUAGAGAGUCACAAAGACAAAAUCCCCUCAGAAACAUGGCAGCUGAUCAGUCAAACUUGCUUUCGUGAAAUGAUUAACGCAUUUAGAACCAGGAGCAUCGUUGCGGAUCAGGUCAGCAGAUUUGAGUUGGAUAUAGAAAUUUUAUUGAGGCACUAUUGCAAGGAGACAAAAAAGUUUAUGUUUGGAGAAAAAGAAAUGGAGAUUAAAGAGAAAGAUGUGCAUCUUUUGUUUGGAUUAACAAAAGAAGGUGAAAAUGAGGAAGAGAAAAUCUCCAGGAGAAAGAAGAGCAGCCAACAGUCAACCAUAUUCGGCAAAACGAAAGGAUCCAUCUUUAGGAAGAUGAUCCACGACAAGUUGACAGAAGAGCUCAACAAGAUUAAGAACAAGGAGGCAAAACCAAGGAAAAUUGCUUCCUUGAUCAUAAUGUACCUACUGGCUACUUUCUUCUUCAACACAUUUGGGAGCCAAAUUGAAUGGCAAAUGGUGCUGACAUAUGAGGACCUAGAAGCAAUAAACAAAAUAAACUGGUCAAGAAAGGUGAUUGAAGCCUUCCAUGAAGGAGUGAAAAAGCAUGUCAAGGGCAAGCCAAAGGGUCUGAAUGGUUGCGUAGUUCUGCCUCUGUACUGCUUCUUGGAGCGUACAAAAAUCAAGGAAAUGAUCCAGAAGAAACAAGCAGAUAUGCCAAGAUUUGUAAGAUGGUCCACAAAUGGCAUCAUCUAACGGAAGCGACUAUCUAAAGAGAACCGAAAAAGCUGAGUAAAAUUGGUUUUGGUUUUCCAAAUAUUAUACAGCAUUGUACUUAGAUGAUGUUUCUAGAAAAACUGAAACAAAUCUUUAUUUUGCAAAAAACAGGAACUGGUUGCUCAAGGUCCAUGGAAGGAUGAGGAAGAAAGCACUUCCGGAUCAGAGGAAUAUGGCACCCCAGACGAACAUGGCACCCCGAGCUUUGAANNNNNNNNNNNNNNNNNNNNCAAAGACAAACGAAGAACUCCAGAAUAGAAUCAAUGAUUACGUGCACAAGUUACAGCUUGCCGAAUGACAAAAUAAAGCAGCUGGAGAUUGAGAAAAGGGCGCAAGACAGCCUCAACAAGGCUCUGAAAGAGAAAGCUUAAAAAAGCAAAAUCCUCAACAAAUGGACCUCCCAUCAGAAAAGGCAAUUCGGUGGGGAAGAGUAUGGCUGCCAAGGAGAUGAACAAACAAAAGGGAAUGUAAGAUGAUACUUUACACUAUAACUAAGACUGUUUUUUACUUUAUUUUGUUUUCUUUAUUAUGUUAACUAAUAUUUUUUUUUUAAAUUAAAAAAAUCAGGAAGACCAGAACAGAAGCCUGACAGUUAAGUUCAAAGUUGAAACUGCACAAACAACACAAUAAUGUAGAUGAUCAACCAGAAGCUUGGGUGAGAAUAUAAAAUUACUAGGGGGUAGUAGACUUAAUAGGGAAACUGUGUUGCAAGGUAGUAAAACCCCAGGCAAACUAUUACUAGGGGUAGUAAAUGUUUUGUUAUUGUUUAAAAUCUGAGAAUAACAUGUCUUAUUUUAUUUUAUGAAGGCUGUGAUACAUGAUGAACAACCACUGAAUCACGUAUCUCCAGUAAUGGACUAUGAGAACUUGCCGCUCACAGAGGAUGACAACUGUAAUUUAGAUAAGAUAGUUAAGUCCCAAGCUGCAUCAAUGCAACAAUCAGCAACAGAAAAGGACAAUGACAUCUCUGCGACAGUUCAGUCCCAAGUUUCAUCAACCGAACAAACAGCAACAACAGAGGAUAAAGGGAUGAAUACUUAUUCCAAGAAGAAGAAAGCAAUGGCUCCGAUGUCGAUAGAAAAAAAUGUGAAGCUGAACCCUAGAAAUGCCAAGAAACAAAGGACCCUGACUGGGAGUACAGCACUCCAAAAGACAUUCAAGUCCACAAAAAAUUAUAAUCAAGAAUCUGAAGUGUGACAACAGUACAUGGGAUUCACUGGGCGACGAUUUGAAAAUGCACUACAAACAAUGGUUUGAAGCCCGCCCGAACAAAAAGGAAGAGUAAGUUUCAAUUAUAUAAAACUUUACAGUUUGCUUAUGCAAAAUUACAAAAAUAUAUUUGUUUUAAUUAGAGUAUGAAUUCAAUGUUUUUCUACAGUGAAGCGUACUGGACAUGUCCUGAAGGCUGACACUGUUUAUCAAAGAGUGACUUGAAAAGGAUCAUCGAACACUCAGACAUAUUGUCGAGUGUGAGUAAUAAAAAAAUAAAUAAUAUCACCUUAUUAGCACCACUCAGUGAAGUUUAGAUUUAAUAAUAUUGACUUAUGUUAUGAUCGCAAAGCCUGCAAGUGUACAUGAGGUUGUUGAAGGAAAGGGCAGAAGCUGCCAAACUUCCUGUUGGAUUCAUGAACAUGGAGAUUGUGGUAAGUUUACUAGGGGCAAUAAAACUUAUAUUUUCAUCAAGAUAUUAUUUUGCAAGUUUACUACCCCUAGUAGUAGAUUACUAGGGGUAGCAAACUUAAGUUUUUGGUAUUUAUCUUUAUUUUUCUUUCAUUUAAUCUCUAUAAUGACUGUGAGGAUACCAUAUGGAAACUUUCAUGUAAAUUUAAUACCUUUCAUAGAGUAUUUUUGAAUGCAAAACAGCAUUAUGUGUUGCUAUCGAAAGUUUACUACCCAUAUAAAAUUGUUUUUUUGAGUGCAAAACAGCUUAAUAAAUAGCUUUCGAAGGUUUACUACCACCAACAAUGUGUUUUUUUAUUGCUCUGAAAACUUUACUACCCCUAGUAAAGUAUGUUUUAGGGUGCAGAAUAACAAAAUAUGAUGCUCUGCAAACUUUACUGCCCCCAGUAAAGUAUGUUUUAGGGUGCAGAACAACAAAAUCUGAUGCUUUGGAAACUUUACUACCCCUAGUAAAGUAUGUUCUGGGUGCAGAACAACAAAAACUGAGGUUCUGGAAACAUUACUACCCCUAGUAAUGUGUUAGGCUGCAGAAUAACUAAAUCUAAUGCUUUGGAACAUUACUACCCCCAGUAAAGUUUACUAUGGGUUGUAAAAUGUUAUUUAUAUAUGUUGGUUGAUCUAAGGUUAAUCAUAUUUGUUUUUUAAAUGCAGAAGGAUGUGAUAGAGCAUGAAACAAUGUUGGAACUGCACAAGCUAAAUGGAGGAAAAACUGGAGACUUCAAAAGUGGUUAUGAACUCCGUAUGGAGGAAAAACUUUGGACCCUGUUUGGAAAGUAGAUGGUCUUCAUUCCGUUACAUCAUUGGUCCAGCCUUCACUACACUUUGCUACUGAUUGACAACAUCAACAAACGCUUUUAUCACAUGAACUCUUCACUGCCAACACCGUACAAAGAAAAAGACAACUUUCACUUCAAACAUGCAAAAGCAGUGGUGAGUAAACAAUCAAACAUUUUUAUUAAAAAAAAAGAAUUGUUAAGGUUAACUAAUGUUUAAAAAUUGUUUUGUUGCUUAAUAUACAGGUGAAGCACAUCAAGGAGUUCAUCAAACGUAUACAUUAUACAACUGUGUUUUCUUUGAGCCAAGACCUUGACCAGAAUGAAUACAGGGAAGAUUACGUGAUUGAUUACGCACCCGAGGACAGUCAAGGCAGAAAACCUAGCAACAUAGUGAAAAUGACAGAGGACGAAAAGGUGACAAGACGUUGGAUUAUUGAUCAUAACAUCCAUCACAAACCAUACAAACUAACUGAACACCGCACAUGCCCCCAACAAAAUUUAUCAUCGUAAGUACAUGAAUAUUCUUCUUGUACAUGUAUAAUUAUUUGUUAGGGUUGAUAACUACAUAACCAGAUGCUUUGAGAGUUUACUACCCCUGGUAAAUGUUUUUUGUUAGGGGGGUAGAACAGCAUAAAUGAGGGGGUAGUAACAGCAUAAAUGAGGGGGUAGUAAUGUACAUUAAUAUUCAGAUUUAUUUUCUCAGUCAAAAUAAGUUAUUAACAUAGUUAGCCCUUUGAUUUAUGGCAGGUCUGAUUGUGGUCCAUUUGUUCUACAUUAUAUGGAGGCAAUGUGUGUUGGGUUGGAUCCAAACCAAGAAGGCGGCAACCAAAUGAGGAAGAAGAUGUUAGAGGAGUUUGCGAAAUUAAACAAAUGAUUUAUGUAACUUUUGCUAGAAUUGUGGACAGAUAUCACAACUAAGACUGAGAUCCAAUUUUAAGUUCUAUUUUGAAACUUUCAUGUAAAUUUAAGGGAAUUUAAUACCUAGUAAACUUUCAUGAACAUACUUUAAUACCUAGUAAAGUAAUGGUUUAUUACCAUCAGCAAUGUGUUUUUUUAUGCUCUGGAAACUUUACUGCCCCUAGUAAAGUAUAUUUUAGGGUGUAGAACAACAAAAUCUGAUACUUUGGAAACAUUACUACCCCUAGUAAAGUAUGUUCUAGGGUGCAUGACAACAAAAACUGAGGUUCUGGAAACUUUACUACCCCUAGUAAAGUAUGUGUUAGGCUGCAAAACAAGUAAAUCUGAUGACUUGAAAACAUUACUACCCCCAGUAAAGUUUAUUACUGGGUGCAGAACAACAUCACUACCCUUUUAGUUAAGAUUUUUUAUGCUCUGGAAACAUUAUUACCCCUAGUAAAGUAUGUUCUAGGGUGCAGAACAACAAAAACUGAGGUUCUGGAAACUUUACUACCCCUAGUAAAGUGUGUGUUAGGCUGCAGAACAAGUAAAUCUGACGACUUGGAAACAUUACUAACCCCAGUAAAGUUUAUUACUUGGGAGGGAAGAACAGAAAAAAAAAUAAAAAAAAAGAUCAUGUGUAAUGUUACUGACCCUUAGAACUUUAAUGCUUGGGACAGAUGAACAUAAUAAUAUUGUCAAGAGAAUUCCACAAUAAUGAACAUCACAAAAAUCUUCAAUCAAAAUCCUUACAAAAGAGAAAAAUCUGAAUAUAGUUCAAAAAACAUCCAAAAAACAACAAAUCCCAAACAUCCACUAACACCAGAAAGAUAUACAAGAAACUACAGCAACAUGUUCAAAGGUUCCGUACAGCUGUUCUUGUUAUGAUGGCCCAUCUUAUUACAACGACCGCAUUGAAUCAGCUUCUUCUCACCAGCAGAUGUUAUCCUCUUUGAUUUAGGCCUCCCAGCCGGCCUCUUUGUAACAAGAGGUAGUAUAAAGUCCUCAGUGGAAGAACAAGAGGCAUCCACGUUACUCAGAGGUGCAAUAGGAAAACUAUAACACAUCCUAUAGUAUUCAGUAGUAAAAUAAGGAUCAAUGAAAUCAUACACAUCAAGUUUUGCACCUUGUAUAGCAGCAAGUGCAUGAGCGCAUGGGAAGCAAUUAAUCUGCCACUUCACACAUGAACAAGUACGAGUAGAGAGGUCCACUGAAUAGGAGUACUUAUCAUUCCUAACCUCAUAAACAUUUUCAUGGGAAGCAAUCACCCUGAACACACGAGACCUAUCAAGCUGCUCUUUCAGCCUCUUCUCCAUUUUAGGAGUAAGCUUGGUAGUCCAAGAUUUCGACUCAACACUCAUUUCUGACAUCAUCUUCAUUUCUUUCAUUCUUGUUUGAUCUAACAUAACGAAAGGGGGUAGUGAACGCUCAGCAACAAUCCAGUUAUUAAAGGAUUCAGCAAUACCAUUUGCCAUAAUCUCAUACCGACAACCUUUAAAAAAAGCACGGCACCAAUGUUCCAAUUGAAUCUCCCUUAUGAAUUCAUCAAUAAUAGCAGCACCACCCUCGUCUCUCAAAUUUUUUAAAUGAAAGUAGAAAGACUUCUCAGUCGAUGCAUAAGCCACUUUAAAGAAUUUUUGUAACACAUCAGCAACAACAAUUUCCCCUCUUUUGUUCUUAUACUUUCGACUAAGGUUGUAUCGCAAAUGAUGAUAACAGUAAAGAUAAGGAUUAACAUAGUGAAAAAUCAACUUAGAUGCGAAAUAAUAAAGUUUACUGGGGGUAGUAACGUUUAAAAUAGAGAUUACUACCUUAGUAAUCUUCUACUGGGUGUAGUAAACUUGCAAAAUAAUAUCCUCAAAGGCCGUAAUACACAUUAAAACAUGCUUCUGCACAGCUAAUAGGAGCGUUCCUUUCCAAAACUAAAGACUAACAAAAAAAAAUAAAAAAAAAUCAGAAGCAUGAAGAUUUUCAAAAUUACUAGGGCUAGCGUUCCGCUCCAAAACAAAAGGCUAACAAAAGAGAAGAAACAUAAAAAACAGCGUGCAGCUGCACCGUUAACGGGAGCGUUACGCUCCAAAAACAUAACAUGUACAACUAAAAACAUGAAAAAAUUACUAACAAUUACUAGGGGUAGUAAAAUAACAGGAGGUACCUUUGUUUCCAUUUCUUUCAGUUGCAGCAAGAAUCUGCCCUUUGUAUUUGCUCUUUCCAAAGGCACCAUCAAUUUCUAAGUUAUUCUUUUCACCUUUCAGUCAAUAACUUUGUCAUUGUUCAAUUAUGUAGAACAAAAUGUUAGCAGAAUUGAAUCAAACCAAGGANAAGCUAGCUAAAGUUCUUGGGGCAACCUCACUUGACGAGAUAGAAGUUCCAGUUUCAANNNNNNNNNNNNNNNNNNNNNNNNNNNNNNNNNNNNNNNNNNNNNNNNNNNNNNNNNNNNNNNNNNNNNNNNNNNNNNNNNNNNNNNNNNNNNNNNNNNNNNNNNNNNNNNNNNNNNNNNNNNNNNNNNNNNNNNNNNNNNNNNNNNNNNNNNNNNNNNNNNNNNNNNNNNNNNNNNNNNNNNNNNNNNNNNNNNNNNNNNNNNNNNNNNNNNNNNNNNNNNNNNNNNNNNNNNNNNNNNNNNNNNNNNNNNNNNNNNNNNNNNNNNNNNNNNNNNNNNNNNNNNNNNNNNNNNNNNNNNNNNNNNNNNNNNNNNNNNNNNNNNNNNNNNNNNNNNNNNNNNNNNNNNNNNNNNNNNNNNNNNNNNNNNNNNNNNNNNNNNNNNNNNNNNNNNNNNNNNNNNNNNNNNNNNNNNNNNNNNNNNNNNNNNNNNNNNNNNNNNNNNNNNNNNNNNNNNNNNNNNNNNNNNNNNNNNNNNNNNNNNNNNNNNNNNNNNNNNNNNNNNNNNNNNNNNNNNNNNNNNNNNNNNNNNNNNNNNNNNNNNNNNNNNNNNNNNNNNNNNNNNNNNNNNNNNNNNNNNNNNNNNNNNNNNNNNNNNNNNNNNNNNNNNNNNNNNNNNNNNNNNNNNNNNNNNNNNNNNNNNNNNNNNNNNNNNNNNNNNNNNNNNNNNNNNNNNNNNNNNNNNNNNNNNNNNNNNNNNNNNNNNNNNNNNNNNNNNNNNNNNNNNNNNNNNNNNNNNNNNNNNNNNNNNNNNNNNNNNNNNNNNNNNNNNNNNNNNNNNNNNNNNNNNNNNNNNNNNNNNNNNUCUCUCUCUCUCUCUCUCUCUCCGAUCGUAAACUUUCUCUCUCUUCAAAACAGAAAUUUGAAAAUGGAUCUCGUCUGGUAUAUAUAGUCCACGGGUUGAGGGUAUUUUCGACAGAAAAAACUGUUAAAAGUUGGCCCAUUAGAAAAGUUUUGUCCAAUAAGGCACAUUUCACACACCUUAUAUUGAAGUGGACACAUUUCUUUUAAAAGCAUUUAAAUGGGCAAAAAGAAGCUUAAAUUAGUACUAAAGUGUCAUUUACUCUUUCAUUUAUAAUAUUAAAAAAAAAAAAGCACUGAAAAGAGCAUGCCACAUAUAUAUAAUGCAUGUAGAAUUAUUAACAUAUAUAUAUCUAUAUAGAGCGUGUACGUAAUACGUGAUAUUGGAAAUUUGUUUUUGAUCGGUCUUUAUAUAUACAUUGACGUUGAGCUGGAUUCAGAGAUAUGAUACACACAUAACAACUGUAAAAAUCAAAGCGCGCACCGCGCAGAAAGAGUAAAGCAGCUCAAAAGGUAGUGGAAUGAACUCUAAUUAUAACAAUAUUUUUGAUAAACAACUCUAAUUACAACCAAUUCGCCAUAUGUGAAAUAAAAGAUAGAUAACCUUUCCACGAUAUGUUUGUUAUGUUUUGUUUUUUCUGAGAAGAGAAGGAGUCUCGAAGACAAGAUAUGUUUGAUUAUUAGAAGGAAUAAGAGGGGAAAUUAGGUACCUAAAAUAAUUGUUAAAUAAUGAGGGCCUUUAGUGCACUUCUUCUAGUUUGCCGUUCUAGUUUCUGAACCUAGAUAUCAGAUCGUUCAUGAGCCGUGGUUGGUUAUUAAUAUGAAAGGGGUGUGAGUUAUAUAUAAGGCUUCUUGGCUACAAACGUCCGCACCAAUGAUUUUGGUGCGGAUUUUCAUUUUUGCACCACUUUUCGAUCGAAUUUCCUCAUCUCCACCAUUUAAUAUCUAGAUAAUAUUGUGUAGAUCAUCUCUGCAAAAUUUCAGCCAAUUUAGUAAUCGUUAAGGCCCUNNNNNNNNNNNNNNNNNNNNNNNNNNNNNNNNNNNNNNNNNNNNNNNNNNNNNNNNNNNNNNNNNNNNNNNNNNNNNNNNNNNNNNNNNNNNNNNNNNNNNNNNNNNNNNNNNNNNNNNNNNNNNNNNNNNNNNNNNNNNNNNNNNNNNNNNNNNNNNNNNNNNNNNNNNNNNNNNNNNNNNNNNNNNNNNNNNNNNNNNNNNNNNNNNNNNNNNNNNNNNNNNNNNNNNNNNNNNNNNNNNNNNNNNNNNNNNNNNNNNNNNNNNNNNNNNNNNNNNNNNNNNNNNNNNNNNNNNNNNNNNNNNNNNNNNNNNNNNNNNNNNNNNNNNNNNNNNNNNNNNNNNNNNNNNNNNNNNNNNNNNNNNNNNNNNNNNNNNNNNNNNNNNNNNNNNNNNNNNNNNNNNNNNNNNNNNNNNNNNNNNNNNNNNNNNNNNNNNNNNNNNNNNNNNNNNNNNNNNNNNNNNNNNNNNNNNNNNNNNNNNNNNNNNNNNNNNNNNNNNNNNNNNNNNNNNNNNNNNNNNNNNNNNNNNNNNNNNNNNNNNNNNNNNNNNNNNNNNNNNNNNNNNNNNNNNNNNNNNNNNNNNNNNNNNNNNNNNNNNNNNNNNNNNNNNNNNNNNNNNNNNNNNNNNNNNNNNNNNNNNNNNNNNNNNNNNNNNNNNNNNNNNNNNNNNNNNNNNNNNNNNNNNNNNNNNNNNNNNNNNNNNNNNNNNNNNNNNNNNNNNNNNNNNNNNNNNNNNNNNNNNNNNNNNNNNNNNNNNNNNNNNNNNNNNNNNNNNNNNNNNNNNNNNNNNNNNNNNNNNNNNNNNNNNNNNNNNNNNNNNNNNNNNNNNNNNNNNNNNNNNNNNNNNNNNNNNNNNNNNNNNNNNNNNNNNNNNNNNNNNCUAUAUAUAUAUAUAUAUAUAUAUAUAUAUAUUUCUUUAACAAAAAACAUAGAGAUCAGACCAAAUUAAACGGAAAGUAGGAAGAUAUAGAUUGGACCACUUUGUCAUCAAACGUAAAGCUAAUCCACAAUGUUUAGACUUAGACAAACAAUUAAUUCGGGGAUAAGCAUUUCAUGGUUGAGUCUGCUUUGUAAAAACAUGAAGAAAAAUGUUUUAGGGUUUUAGUUUCUUUGCUUAUCCUGCGGUGACCUAGGUCGAGGCUGACUUGCUUCGUUCUGGUGAGAUCUCGGAGGAUGGGUUGUAUAGGUUGCCUCCCUGCAAUGGGUCGUGAUGGUGAUGCUCUUUGCCGGCGGCUAGCGUCAACAUUCGUGGCGGCGAUUCUGCUCCAAGAUGCACCGUCCUUGCUUGGGUUGGGCCUUUGGUGGUGUCACACCCUAAUUUUCAAAAGAUAAUUUUUCAAAAAUUUUGGCAUGAUAUAUCCUAAAAUAUUAUAAUCCCAUAACCUGUUUCAAAAACAAACUUCACAGGAAACUAAAAUUUAAUGCGGAAAUGUAAUUCACCCAACUCAACACUGAGUUAAAUAUUACAUUUCCUUGUUUACAUAAACUUAAAGGUCAAGAAAAUGAAACACUCACAUGAGUUUAAUACUAUCUAACCCAAAUAUAAAAAUAUACAGAGUACAGCAAAACCCUGCCACUAAGCCUCUGCCUCAACCCUGCUGAUCCUCACCUGCAGAUCUAACCCCUACACCAAGAAUUGGUGCACCAGGUUGUAAACAACAAACCCGGUAAGCUAAAAAGCCCGUAUGAAUAAUUGUCAAAAUAAACACAACACCUCCAACAACCCAUUAUAACACAAGAGUAAUUUAUAUCAAUAAUUAAAACCACAAUUUCAACGCUAUCUCAAUUAACAUGUACUCAUGAGUCCCAGAUAUUAAUAAAUACCCCUCAUGACCUACAACAACAAAAUGUGUACUCAUGGGUCUCAGAUACCAUACAGUAUCUCCCAUGCCCUACACUGACAGACUGACUAGAUCUCUAUUCCUAACCGCAACCAAUCACCCGGCCAAAGGCUUGAAACCCGGUUUGACUGUCUAAUAUCAAACACAAAAAUGAUAAAUAACAUCUUAACCGCAACCAAUCACCCAAAUAAAGGCUUGGAACCUGGUUUAGCUAUUUAUCCAACAAUCACAAUAUCACAUCAUUAUCCUCAACAACACAAUAUCACAUCAUUAUUCUCAACAACACAAUAUCACAUCAUAAUUUAUAUCCUUACACAUGGAUAUAUUUAUAUGAACAAAAUAUAGAUAUUCUACAAGAAUAAUAUAUCAAUAAUCAAUAAAAUUAUGAUCACAUGAAUCUCAAAAUAGCAUAUAAAGAAAACUUGUUUUAUCUUACCUAUGAGCCGUUAGCGAUUAAGCUCAUAUAUUUUUAAAAACAAUUAAAACCAUAUUAUUAAAUCCAUCAUCAUCAUCAUUAUCAUCAUAUGACCAUAAUAACAAUAGGUUCAAAAGUGAACCUUGGUGAGAUUUACUCACCUAAUUAUCCCGUUGCAAUUUCCACAACCGACAAUAGCAACCAAACACAACUUCACAAUAUCACCUAAAAAUAACACAAUUAAAACCUUAAUAACUAAAAUACUAUAGGUUAUCACAAUACCCUUAACUAACCCUUAGUUCAAAGGAGGACAACUUUCCAAAGUCGUUGAACUUAGAGACUUAAAAUGGCUGCCUCUAAUCCUCAAAUCCUAACUCAAACCUCCACCAAGCCUAAUAUCCCACUUAAAAUUCUAACAUGCAAACCUUGCUCACAACCUAGGGAUUCUACAUCUCAACAAGCUCACAACAAUAAGAGCUAGUUAAAACACAGCAACCUAAGCCACGAACAUUGCCGGACGCGUUGCCACACGCCGCCACAGGCGGCGGUGGCGAGUGGGCCCCACGCGCCUCCACAAAGUUCCGAAUUUGAGAAAACUCUCAACAGCAAAGUUGAAGCUUGAAGCAAGGGGAACAACUUUCAUACCUGAGACUUCGACCAAUUUUGGCCGAAAUCGGCCGGAAACUGCCCCGCACAGUAACCUGAAAAUCAAACUACAAAACCUACAAAACCGGCCUCAAAACCACAAAAAAUUGCUUCAAUCUAUGCCUAGCCACCACUAGAAGGAGGAGAGGAUCAAGACUCACCUAAGGAUGCCCCUCGUCGCCGCCGGAAACGGCGAGUCCGACCAGAGACACAGCAGCCCUCUUUCCGGCAACAAGGCUCUGAUUCCGGCGUGCCACACCGAGCAACAGCUGCCCAACCUUGAAGAGAGCACUUGUGGGAGUCGAACGGGACCGGCGGCGGUCCAAAUGGUGGCCGGACGGUGGAGCUAGCUCCGGCGAAAGUUUGGUCCUCGGGAGAGGAAGAGGGAGAAGAGAGAGAAAAGAGAGGGAAGAGAGAAAAAAAAGAGAGGCUGACUUGUUUUUAGAGUUUCCAAAAACAUCCCACACACAUUUUUCUACUUGUACUCUUUUCAAACCCGGAAACAAACUUCCUCUGACCAUAACUUUCUCAUACGACAUCCGUUUUAGGCGUGCCGCAUGUCUACAAACUCAUAUCGACAAACUCUACAACUUUCAUGAAGGAAGUUUUCGAAUAUAACUUAUGAAAAAUAAAGUCAACUUUUGGCCUCUUAAAGUCAAAGCACCUUAAAUAAACUCCCGAAACUUCAACUUCGCAUAAACCAAAGAAUUUCCAUAAAUAAUCCUUCAUAAAUUAAGGGAAUAAUACAAGAAAAAAUGAUAUGAAAAUCUAGGGUAUUACAGGUGGCUUGCUUUUGGAGAUCCACUGGAUAUGGUUUGGGCCUGGGCUUUUAUGGGCCUAGGUUUAGGGUUUUUUGUUGUUUUGGUUUGGUUGUUGUCCCUCUGCUCUGAGCGGGGGUUUUGGCCUCCUCUUUGAGCGAGGAUAUAGGGUUUUGGUAGGUUAGUGUCGGAGUCGUGUCAUUGGUGUACCAUGUUUAUGGUGUCAUUUUUAGAGAUCAAUGUAAUGGGGAGGUUACAUGUGCAUAUAUGCUGGUAAUUUUGGCAUAUAGUGUUUGAAGAGGUUGUUUCUUUUUUAGGUUGACCAUAAAGAUGUAUCAAGGCUUCUGGAAUAGGUUAGGUAAUAGUUGAACUCAUUUUGGUUCUUGUCCACUGUAACCGUUUUUGUUAGGUAGGGAGAAGUGUGGGGAUGUUAUGUCUACCACUGAUGGCUCCCAUGAUUGUAAUUUCAGAUCUUAUUACCUUUCUCAAAAAGAAAAAAAAGAAAAAAAAAAAGAAAAACAAUUAAUCCGAAUGAUUCAUAAUGGUUCUAAAAAGCCACUAGUGUUUACAACAACCCCUCUCUUUCAUAGACAUGUUCCCUAGGCUUGCAGCAGGGUAAAUGAUAUGUUUUGGUUGAAGAAGCAGAGAAGCAAACCACGUCAUGUUCUCUUUCUCAAACCUAGCGAUUGUUUGGAGCUCAAGCAAGCUUCAUAGCUUCAUUAGCCUAUUGGGUGAAUGGGUGAUGGUGUACAGCCAAAACCACAGUCGCUUUCUCAAAUUGCGUCAUUAUUACUACUAUAUAGCUAGCUCAACUGUGUUAUUAUACUACUAUAUUGACUCGAGACUAGAUAGACUCUCUAAAUUUGGCUUUAUCAAUGAUAAGUUAUGUCCCAUUUGUAACAAUGAUAAGGAAGUAGUGAACCAUCUUUCAUGUUAGUGUGAUUUUACUACUAGUUUCAAAUCUUUUCACUGCUUCCCCAAUUGAUUGGGAAGAUGGUUACCUUAAUGUCUCUGAAUAUUUGCAAAAAUGAUUACCACUUGUUGGCAGAUAUGGAAAUGUAAUAGAAACUAGACGUCCUCACGAGUUCGUGGCAUUUUUCGGUGAAUUUUUCGACUUUUUAAAGUUUCAUUGAAACUUAUCCGAAAUGUAGAUGUGGCAGCUUCCCAUUGGUCAAAAGGCUGUUACUUAGAGCAACUCCAACAAAAGAAUCAAAUCCUUGUUGGUUGCCCAACAACUACUUUUGACAGCCCAAUGGGCUCUCCAAUAAAGGAGUCAAUUCCUACGUGAAUUUGGCUAUAGGAAAAAGGUUAUCAAAUUUGACACAGCCUGGGAGAAGAGUCAUUUAUUAAAAAAAUAAUUUUUGUCACCUCCGUCAUCGUUCGUUCUCUUUUCCCCUUCAGAAAUCCAGUUCUCGUCUAUCACCAUAACCCAAUUCUCAUCUCUCCUUCAUCUUUUCUUUAUAGGGACGUCUUCAAGGACACCAAAGACUAUUCAACGAUUACUUUUCUAAAAAUCUAAUUUAUGGAGAAGAUAUAUUUCGGAUAAGGUUUCAGAUGCAUCGAGCUCUGUUUCUUCGAAAUUGUAGAUGGGGUAACAGAUCAUGACUCCUACUUUGUCUAAAAAAGAGAUGAGGCUAGCCGCCUUGGAUUGUCUUCUCUACAAAAGUGUACAGCUGUGAUGAGAAAGCUCGCCUAUGGAGUUGGGGCAGACGUUGUUGAUGACUAUAUUAGAAUCAGUGAAAACACUGCAAUUGAAGCUUUGAGAAGGUUUGUCCAAGCGGUUAUUGAUGUUUUUAGCGCUCAAUACUUGAGAAGACCCACUGCUGAAGAUAUUUGCUGAUUGUUAUCAAUUGGUGAGAGUCGUGGGUUUCGAGGAAUGCUUGGUAGUAUCAAUUUUAUGUAUUGGAAGUGGAAGAAUUGUCCAGUUUUGCUUGGAAAGGUAUGUUUUCUCGUGGAGAUCAUUUUGAACCUUCUUUAAUUCUGGAAGCUGUUGCAUCAAAGGAUCUUUGCAUAUGACAUUCAUUUUUUGGUUUAUCUGGUUCCCACAAUGAUAUCAAUAUGUUGGAGCAUUCACCUUUAUUCGCCGACCUCCAUGAAGGCCGAGCUCCUCCGAUCAAUUUUAGGGUAAAUUAUCAAGACUAUAAAAUGGGAUAUUAUUUGGCUAAUGGCAUAUAUCCAUCAUGGUCCACUUUCGUCAAAACCAUUACAUGUCCACAAGGAGAGAAAGCAAAGAAUUUUGCUAAAGCUCAAGAGGGAUGCUGAAAAGAUGUAGAAACAGCUUUUGGUGUGCUUCAAGCACGUUUUGCAAUUGUGAAGGGACCUGCUCAUUUUUAGGAUCGUGAAACUCUUUAAAAGAUCAUGAAAGCAUGUGUUAUAAUGUACAAUAUGAUCAUUGAAGAUGAACGUGCCGAAUGCAUUGCAGUCGAUGAUCAUGAAAUUCUCGCAAGGUAGUAUGUUAAACUAGAUGAGCAAUUGGAAGAUCUGCUAGUUUCACGUAAUCACAUAAUUGAGUUUGAAUAAUUUAUUAGCAAUUAUUUGGCUAUUAGGGAUCAAGGAACACAUUCUAUGCUGCAAGCUGACCUUUUUGAGCAUCUGUGGCAACUUCAUGUGGCUAGAACCAAUAUGUAGAUGUUGGUUGGCAGGUAUGAAGACUACUUAAUUGGUAAUUUGAGUACUUUGCCAAUGUAGUAGUCUGAGUAAUGGUGCAUAGUUAUGGUGCAGUUGUAAUUGUACUUGCUAUUCAAUUGUCUUUCUACCAGCAACUAAAUUAAAAUGUGUAGUUGUUCCUUAACAAACUUCAUUAGUAAUUGUACCUAUAAUAAGUAUCUAUGUAUUAAAUUUUCAUCAGUUUCCCAUCUAACACUUCUUUUGUCUCCCCUAUAUAUCUUAUUAUCUUAAUUGUUUUCUGUGCAUAUAUACUUUCUCUUCUUCUUAUUGGUGCAUAGUUAUGGAUUCUUAAUAUUUUAGUUUUUCUACACAAAACUCAGAGCAUGAAUUUGUUGACGAAUCCUCUCAAAUAGCUUACAAAAGGCUUGCAAGAGGUCCAAGCUUUAACACAGACGAGGAUCGAUUCCUUGUCAGUGCUUGGUUGAACACUGGUUUGGAUCCUAUUCAAGGUAACGAGCAGAAACUUCAAACUUAUUAGGGAAUGAUACACGAUUACUAUCAUGAGUACAAAACUUUUGAUAAUGAUCGUUCACAACUAAUGCUGAGCCAACGAUGGAGAAAAAUACAAAGGCUGGUGAAUAAGUAUUCAGGAUGUGUAGCUGCUAUAAAUAGAAGAAAUGAAAGCGGCAAGAAUGAACAAGACAAGUGAAACUAUUUUUGCAGCCAUUACUUAGUUUUCAGCUAUUCAAAGUUAUUACUGAUAUUACUCACAUUCUAUUAUAUUCAGAUUGCAGAUACAAAAAAAUUAUUUGAAGCAUAAGAAGAGUGUAAGUGGAACCUUGAUCAUGCUUAGAUUUUGCUGAGGCACCAACUAAAGUGGAUAUAACUAAAUCAAGAGCUGGACUGACAAAAACAGUAAGAUCUCAACAUCUUCAACUAUAGGCAGUGAUAUAGACAUUAAGGAAGAAAUUAACAUUUGCAAUCCAGUAGCUAGACCACCAAGUAAGAAAACUGAGAAAAGAAAGCUGAAAGAAACAAGUGAUCAGUUGGUUCUAAUUGAAAAACUGCAUCUAGAGAAAAAAAAAAAAAUAAAAUAAAAAGAUGAAAAGAAACUAGCUAUUAUGAACGAGAAAGUUGAAGUUGAUAAAAAGAAAUUGAGGGUUAGAAAACUAGAGGCUGAUAAUAGGAAGUUUGAAGCAGAUAUGAGAAUAAUGUCUAUGGAUACUUCUAAGAUGAACCAUGAGGAAAAGGCAUACUAUUCCAAACUACAAAUGAAGAUUUUACAGGGUGACAACUAGAAGUACGAAGACUAUCUUAUCUUUUGAUUGAUGUUUUUCCAUUUGGUGUUUCUUUGUUAGCCAAUGUAAUGUUUAGAGCACAAUGUGUUCCUUUUGGUUUCUUCAUUUUAUACUGACCUUGUUAUCUUUUAUUUAAGGAAUGUUGUUAUUUCUCACAGUUUGAUGUUUUGAAUGUUGUUGUGUCAUAUUGAACUGGUUUGAAUGUAUUUCUAUUGAAUUAAUGCAAUAUGUGAGUUGUGAGUUGUUGUGCAUAAUGCAUUAUGUACUUCAGCUUGCUGUGCAUAAUGCAAGUGGUACUUCUGUUGGAUGUACUUCUAUUGAAUGUAUGUUAUAUGUGAGUUGUGAGUUGUUGUGCAUUAAUGCAAUUUGUGUUUGGACUAGUGUGAUGAGUAGUACUACAACUGUAUUCUUUUACAACUGCAUCAAAGUUCAGAUAUUAGCUCCACUUGAUGUUCAUGCUUGAUCUUACCAUUUUUUUGAACUUUUGCAGUAGCACUACUCUUCAGUAUUCAGUAGCAAGCAUCCUCAAAUUCUCAUCGCUACUCUUCAUUAUUGAUUUUGAUAAAUGUUAAAUUAAAUUCAAGUCUGACAUCUUCAUUAGAGAUGAGAUUAGCCAAGAUAUGUAAAAUUUAAAUUUUGACAUGUGACAUGUCAAAAUUUAAAUUUGACAAUAACUUUUGACAACAUGGUUGGAGUUGCUCUUAGUGACCAAGGAAAGCAGCCAAAACGUAUCAGAUUCAACAUAUGAGUCAUUAUGACAUUUGUCAAAUAGAGAGACAAGUUUUGGUGAGAAUUUGACAAGUGGAAGAAGCGUGUUUGUGGAAGCCUUUGUUUUUGACACUUGUCACCUUUUGAUUGGUCCUCUCUCCUUAUAAAUUGGAGUUCAGCCUUUACUAUCUGACUUUCUCUCUCUACUCUCUCACAUCAAUUUUCUCUCUCUAGAUUUGCGACUAAACUUCGGUGGAUCAUAACUUUUGAUUUGUAUCUCUGAUUCUGAAUCCGCAAAGUGCUACGGGUUCGGAUCGAUGCCCUCUUUCUAUCCUUGAGGUUUGAGUUAGAUCCAACUGUGAUUCUUAGAUGGCUUGUUUCAGGAGGCUCGGUUUACGAUCGAUAUUUGUUGUGGGGUUUCGAUGCUAUCAAGGUGAGUGGAUUUGUAUAAUAUGUUUCAAAUAUUAUUAUUUGCUAUCAAAAUAGUCGAAAAACAUGAUUUGAUCUUUUUAUGAAAUAUCUUUCUAUUUCAAAGUGAAGCAUGUCUAUUUGCGAAAUAUGUGCAGUUUAUAUAUAAUUAUGUGUUAGAUCCAUAGUUUGACUAGUCAUGGAACAUGUGAAUUUCUUGAUUGGUUAUGCCGAAGUAAGAAUGUGACAUACGGUGGUAUAGGACUUGAAGGUCAUUAGGUUCCCGUGGGGAUCACUAAAUUGAAGGAUAUUCAAUAAGGGAUUGUGCGAUGUGAUGAAUUGCGUGACUUGAUGUGUAUAUAUACGAUAUACGUAUUUUAUAGCGUGUGUAAAAUGACAUGGCUUUAUAGGUAUAUUACAUUGGUCUACUCACUGAGCGCGUGGUUUUGCUCACCCACCCAUCUCAAAUAUUUUUUGCAGAGGAGUAUUUAGGGUUUGACCGAGCCGGGAAAGGGUUGGACGAGCCUAGAAGAUAGUAUUUUUGUUUACGUUCCGCUUUGUAACACUCACACCUCGGAAUUGGCGUCCGAUGCUUAAAACCCAUCGAUGCUAGGAACAGGGAGUGACAGGAAACCUCUAUCAACAACUAUGGCAACAACAAUUCGAUGACUUGAGCUCAAACUAAUCUUAAUGAAAGAGUUACUAAUUAAGGUGCAAUAUGAAAACCUUUAUUUCACUUAAUAUUAGAAUGCAUAUUCGUGCUCUUUUGUUAAAUUUAAUUAUGAUGGCCCAGUUUUAAGAGAUCAUCUGCCUCUGACAUUAUCAUUAAAGAUGCCAAUGGAAGACCAGUUUCAACGAUCGCUAAUCUUAUUGGAAUAUCCUCAGUUCCACUUGCUGAAUUUGUGGCAUUGUGAGGUACUUUACUCAAAGCUAAGGAGCAGAUUUUUACUAAGUUUGACGUAGAGUUAGCCUCCAAAUUUGUGAUUGAUGCAGUUAAUGUCUGAGUUGAUCCAUCCUGGAACUAGUACAAGUCAUCAGAAAGUUGGCUACCAGUUUUGAUUAUAGGAUUUUUUACACCAACAGUGUCUGAAUUCUUGCGUGACUGACAAUAUGGUACCUGAACUUGCAAAGUUAUCAAAGAAGUACCCAGACUCAAUUUUUAAUAUCUAUGUCGUACCUGCGGUUUAUUUCCGUCAAGUCUCCGUUAAUUUGACCAUGUGCGUCCCACGUGACGACUUAAAUGAGGCGCAAAAGACUGAUGCACCCUCUAUUCUUUCAGAUCUCUUGUUUUUUUUUUGAUACGUUCUUUCAGAUCUCUCUAUCCUCUCUUUCUCACCCUCUUCAUCUCCUAUUCUCUCUCUCUCUCUNNNNNNNNNNNNNNNNNNNNUUUUUUUUUUUUUUUUUUUGGUUUUGUUCUGGGAAUGUAUUGGACCAGGAUCUUUGGUCAACAUAACAAAGUAAAGAAAAAGUUUUCAUCAAGUUUUUAUUAUCAAAUUUAUUCAUUUUAGGGGUUGAUGGAGUGAAAAAGUCAUUUUUACCCUCAUUUUUCAGACUCAUGUGCAUCACACAUGGUUACUGUUAACUGUGACGUGACAUAAGUAAACCGCAGGUACGACAUAGAUACUAAAAAUUGAGUCCGGGUACUUCUUUGAUAACUUUGUAAGUUCGGAUAUUAUAUUGUCAGUUACACAAGAGUUCAGACACUGUUGGUGCAAAAAAUCCUUGAUUAUAUUACUUUUAAAGUUUUAAACAUGUCUUUCUUGAGACAAACUUAGUAGCCGAUGCCAUUGGCUAGCGACACACUUUGGUAUUGGUAUGAUAAGGGGUUAAAAGUCUUAUUGUUUGACAUUGUAAAUGUUUAUUGUGUAAGAAGCAUUUAUAACUUUUUAUUUCGUUGAUAAAAAAAUAAUAAUAAUAAAAUUGGGCUUUGGGCUUAUACAGUGCAUAGUUCAUGAAUUGAGUGCCGCCGGACAGUCUCCUACAACGUAGCUCGGGUCACUGUUCGGGUGGGUUGGUGUCUUCUUCAACUUCCCCCAGAAACACCCAUCUGCCAUACGAUUCGUUUAUUCCUUUUUGGCUAUCACCAGUGAAGAAGAAGCAGCCAAAAAGGGACCCUUUUCAGUUUAUUCAAUUCUGAUUUGUAAAGCUUAAACCUUUUCAACAUUAAUUUACAAUAUAGCUUUUCUUCAAAUGGUUCAAUUUCUGGGCACCCUUCGCCCUUCUCCUUCUCUAAGCUCUUUCGUUACUUACAAGCGCCAAGUAUACUCGCCAAUCACAGCUCCCAACAAUGGGUUCUUGUCCUUCAGACGAAUGUUCAAGGCUUACCUUCAAUCUAGUAAGCUCGGCUUGCUUUGUUUCUUUCUUAAUGUUCGGCUCAAAUAUGGAAUACUUUUGUGUUUUUGUUUUCUGGAUUAUUGUUUAUGAUCAAAUGAAUAGUUCUUUUUUAUGCUUCCCAGUUUGUUGGGUAUGCAGAUGGAUUUUGUAUAGUAGAUAGGAGUGUUCUUGUUUAGUAGUACUGAUUUUGGCUCCAAAGUUCUGUUGUUUUGCUUUGGUUUGUGCUUGUGCUGGAUAUUGAAGUUCUUUAUUCAAUGCUAUUUACAUGCAUUGAUGAAUGAAGGAAACAAAUUUGAACAAUAGGGGUUUAUAUCUUUUGGUUUUCAUGUGCAAGAUUGUUCAUUAGAAAGUAGCUUAGGCGUAAGGUUGAUGAGCAAACAAUCAGGAAAUGUUGUUACUUUAGAGACACUUGUUUGUCUCCAUUUGUAGAGUAUAUAAGCUAUAAGCAAAUGUUUUCUGCUUUAGAUGAGUUGGGUAGUGAUUUUUCAAAGAAUGACAGGUUCAGUAGCCACAGAUGCUGGUUCAGGGUUACCAUUGGAGCAAUCAGACGUCAUAUUUAUAGGUACAGGAACAAGCGAAGGAAUUCCACGUGUGAGCUGCCUGACAAAUCCUUUGAAGAAGUGCGAGGUAUAGUUAUAGUACCUAUGUGCUUGAGAAUGUUUGCAUGACAUAUGCUGUGUUUUUCUUGAUUACUACAUUUCUGACCAUAACAGAUCAAAAUUAUUAGAUAAAUGAAUACUUUUUGGUUUUUGCAGGUGUGUUUAAAAGCUGUGGAACCGGGUAACAGAAAUAGGAGACUCAACACAAGCAUUGUUGUACGUCAUCCUACAUCCUCUGGAAGUUCUAACAUUCUUAUUGAUGCUGGAAAGUAAGUAGAAAUGUGUUUUCAAUGUGUACUGUGUCAAUGUUACUUAAAAAUGUAUUUGUUCUUCAUGCCUUGCAAAAAACAAGUAUUUAUUUAGCUAAGCUGAAAAAUAUGAUAUUUGCAGUCCUGUAGCAAAUGUCUUAGUUAAGAUCCGUGUGUGAUACAUUGGUAGUUUAAAUUGAUGAAUUGCAAAAACUAAGACAUGGGUCAACCAAAUGAAUUUGCUGAGUUCCGUUGCUUUUCUGGUAGAUAAUGCACGAUUUUUUUUUUUUCUCAUAUGGGGUAAUUGGGUACCAGAAUAAAUAUUGAUUAGAGUUCGGGAUAAGAUGAUGCAGCGGAGGGUUAUCCAGGAAUUCAUGUUAUCAGAAUAUGUUCAGCACUACAGGCCUUGCUAAGAAGUAGUAGCUGCCUCUCCAUGAGGCACAGAUACUAAUAUGAAUUGGAUUGAUGGGAGUUUUCCAUCUGGUCUCCCUAGGGUUAAUGCAUGAUUAACAAUUCUGUAAAUGAUAGUUAUAGUUGUAGUAAUGGUAAUCAUUUUAGUAGAAUCAUAAUAUGAAGAAGUAGUAGAAAUAAUUCCAUGAUUUUCAUUGGUGUUGCUGCCUGUUUUACUACCUAUAAAGAUACAAACUAGAUUAUUCUUGUGUAUUGCUGGAACUUUCCAGAUCAUGAAAGAAAGGUUGCAUAAAACUUGAUCUCUUGCAGUUCUAUUUCUGUUUUGUAGAUUUUUCUAUCACAGUGCUCUCAGAUGGUUUCCUUCUUAUGGGUUAGUUACUGUUUCAUUUUCUCAUGUUUUGCUGUGCUAUAAACCUCAAAGAUAUCAAGUAGUCUCUCAUGUUUAUUAACGAGGUAUAUGGGUUGCUACAAAAACAUAGACUUUUAUUGGUGGUUGAUUUUGAUGACAUAUUGGCUUCGAACAUAUCAUUUCUAAUGGUAUUUGAAACAUGUUUUCUGGUACUUUCAAAUCACUCUCACAGUCUCACAUGUCCUAGAUAUUACACAAUUCGUUAUAUAGGUCCACCCCUUAUUGUGCAGUUUAGGGUUUUCGGUAUGCCACCAGAGUUAGAUAUCAAAUGUUGGCAUAAGUUGAGGUGUUCUUUUUGGACUAUUGUGGCAAAACUAUAUUUUGCCUUAGUUGUUCUUUUAGAAGGGUUCAAUCUUUUUCAAAGACUUGACUCUAACUUGGUGAUGCUCCUGUAGCUUCCAAUGUGAUAUGUGCCUGUCGUCUGGUAUUUUACUUUUCGUAACUAGUUCUGUUUCUGUCAGGAUAAGAACACUUGAUGCGGUUAUUAUUACUCAUUCUCAUGCUGAUGCAAUUGGAGGUCUCUGUCAUGAACACUUUCUAAUGCUAUUUUCUAAAUGAUUAAUAAGAAUACGGUUCCUGUUUCUUUUUUUCAUUAUUCACAUUAAAAAUGAUUAUUUAUUUGUCUCCAGGUCUGGAUGAUCUUCGUGAUUGGACAAACAAUGUUCAACCCAGCAUUCCAAUAUAUGUGCCUGAGCGUGAUUUUGAGGUCCAAACAUCUCCUUCUUGCAUUGUGCUGAGUAUUGUAUUGUAUGAUGACAUUUUGUUUUAAAAAUUGAUGUAAUCAUGUUAGCUUUACCUGUUCUUCCAACAUUUGCAUGAUAGUAAGAGAAUUUACACAGGUGAUGAAGAAGACUCAUUAUUAUUUGGUAGACACAAGUGUGGUCCAACCUGGUGCUGCUGUCUCAGAGUUGCAAUUUAAUAUUAUACAUGAGGAUCCAUUUUCUGUGAACGAUUUGAAGGUAGGAUAAGUAUCAGUUUGUUUUGUACUAAAUCAGAGUUUAUAUCAAGCAUUCUUUGGGUGCCGUUACAUAUAUGAAAUGGGAUAUGUGAUCCAUACUUAAAAUUAAAUUUGGAAGGACAUGUAAGAUAAAUGAAACUAGGUUGGUCUUGAUCUAUGUAGUAAGCAGUACAGUUAUAACAAGAAAAUAUAUGUGAUAGCACUGGGCCAUUGAUACUUGAAAGAAUUAAUCUUUGACACAGCCUUGAACUCAUACCAGUGUAUUGUGUUAACUUUUUGUAUUUCAGUUUACCCCUUUACCUGUAUGGCAUGGUCGUGGUUAUCGCUCCUUUGGAUAUCGUUUUGGUAAUGUUUGUUACAUCAGGUAAUGCUUCUAUUCUUUAACAGCCAGGUCUCUGAUAAUUUUUAUGCCCUGUACAUUGACCUCUUUUAUCUUGUGUUUCAUCAUAAAGCUAGCUGCUAAUAACGAAUUCUUUUCAUUCACAGUGACGUUAGUGAAAUACCUGAAGAAACCUACCCACUUCUGAGAGACUGUGAACUCCUGAUUAUGGUGCCUCCCCCUCAUUUUUCAGACAUGAACCACACAUUCCCUCUAUAUUCUCAUUCUUAAGAAACACAUUCUUCUCUUCUAACCGGGCUGAUUUUCAGGAUGCUCUACGGCCAGAUCGGAAUUCUGCAACACAUUUUGCACUUCCAAGGGUAAAAUAUUUCAGGCCUUCCUGUAAUACUUCAUCUUUUAUAGAAUUUGAAUUUCAUUUACUAUAUUUUCAGGCUUUGGAGGAAGUGCGGAAAAUACGACCUAAGAGAACAUUGUUUACUGGUAUUCUCAGCCUCCUCUAUGUAGCUUAGUGAUUCUCUAUAAUUUAAGUCUGCAAAGACCAUUGUUCACUGGUUUUAUAAUACCAAAUAAUUUACAGCUUCAUUUCCUGGUUUUGCUUUGAUGAAGGUAUGAUGCAUUUGAUGGAUCAUGAGAAGGUAAAUGACUAUCUUUCGAAAUUGAAGGAGACAGAGGGUCUUGAUGCACAAUUGAGCUAUGAUGGGCUUCGGGUACCUAUAGCACUCUAACCUUUAAAUCACUUUACAUAUGAUGGCCUAUUUACUAUUUCUUAUUAAAUACAUAAUUACCAUUUAUUUUGGGCCAGUUGAUCUUUCACAAGCUUUGCAAUAUCAAAGCUAGAUUAAUAUUUUGCUUCUCAGACUUCAUUGUUAACACCCCCAUUGGUCCUCCUAGUUUAUCACAUGAAUAUGUGGCCUGUGGAGACUAUUGUCCAAAUCUUAGUGUAGCAGGUUCAAGGUAAAUGACAAGUAAUGUCACUGUUGCAAAGGUUUUCAGCAUAGGUCUGGUUCUUUCAUAUUCUAUGUAGUUGAGUGAGUUCAUAAGAUAUGUGACUCAGAUUGGAAUCUGAAAGAAAUUAGGUUGGAUUAGAAAGAAGAACGUAAGAGCAACCUACUAGAUGAAGUAAUAAUACUCGGAGGUUGAUGGGAUGGGGUUCGAUGCAAGCCCUUACUCAUCAAACCUGUGGAACUUCAUCAUGUUCUUUCACUGAUUGAAGUAUGUGUCGCUCAUGAAAAUUAGAAGGUGCUCAUUAGCUUCAUCAACACUAUCUUCUCUGACCGAUUUCGAAUCAAAAUGAAUUAUAGAGGAUCUAAUGAUUAGAAACCACGCACGGUUCAUUCCUUGUGUGAUUCAUAUGUUUCUGAUCUCCACAAAUUCUCUUCCCAUAAUUCGCAAUGGUGGUUUAGGCUACUCUGUGGCCACAUCAACACAUUGUUCCGGACCCGUAGUAGUUCGCUGUGGUCGAAAAUGGGUUUAGGCUAGUUUUUUACUCUAAAUGCAGUUAUUGGGUAUCCGUCUUACUACACAUGACCGUUAGAGAGUUUGCGCCCUUCAUGUGCAAAAACAUCUGCCAUAAAGUUUUCCUCUCUCUAAUAGUUUUUUUUUUCCUUCGAUGAGAGGAUCACAUAAUAUUCGAUGAGAGGAUCACAUAAUAGUUACCAUCGAUGUCUUAUGAUCGAUUAAUCCUAGUCAUUAACGCUGACCCUUGUAUAAGCGGGCAUCCAUGUCCCGACACUUGUGAUAUGAAAAGAGAGGAGAGGAGGGCAUGACAGGUAUCAAAGAGCAUUUUGCCGCCUCUUCUGACAACAGUCACCGACUAAAGUUACCCACAUUUGCACGCUCUCCUCACUAAGCUCCAACCACAGUGCUGCACGUGUACCUGUCAGGUCCAUUAGGGGUCCUCCUACUGGUCCUUUUCACGGGUGAUUGAAGUACACGGUGAAAGACGAGUACCGUUGAAAUUAGAAACCCCCGGCGGCCGCCAUGUCCAUAUGAGCUUAUGAGCAUCGUAGCUCAUGAAACCUUAACAAUAAACAAGGGAAAUUGAAGCAUGCAUGUCACCUAGAAUUCUAGUUUUAGGUUAAACUAGUAUUGGCAAUUCUUUUGGUACUGAUCUUGAACCUUUUUAACCAACAACCGAUCAUCAACUCAUAGUGUGUUAUUUUACGGUUUUUACCCUUAUUACUUGCCCUAUAUGGGUGUGGAGUUACCGUCGGGUCAGCUUGCAGCAAUCCACUUGGUUUUUGUUAAAAAAAAAAAAAAAAAAAACUUCCUGAUUAUUAUCUUCAAAAACUUCUACUGAAUGCAAUUUUCUGCAGACAGUAGGGAAAUGAAAACAUGCAAAAUAGAAGGCUCUGUAUGAUAUUGAUAACGUUGGCAUCUUUAAUUGCCAGCAGUUCAUUUGCUAAGUAUUACGAGAUUAUUUUGAUCUCUUUUGGGUUACAUAUAGGUUUGGAUCGGAGGCAGGCUAUGCUAAAUAUAUAUAACGCGCGCCGUUAUCUUUUGCGGAGGGUGUUACGUACUAAACCAGACCUUCUUGGUUCACAAUAUAACGUAGGACCAAUUAAAAAUCACUGGGAUUCAACAGCUGGAUCCUCCUGAACUUUAAGAAAGCUAGCUAUGGCUAUCUAGCUAGCUUAUAUUUACUUGACAAAUAGUUAGUGUUGAAGAUUGGAGUGGGACUUGCGAAUUCUAAAUCAUUCUGUGUGGAGUCCCAUGCAAGUGUGUACCGAUCGAACACAAUCCCGUGAACUCGCAGCCAGUCCAUGCAUAAGUGCACCUUUUGAUAAUUCUCUCCAGCUGAUCCUAUACAAAUACCUUUUAUCUGUAAGGUAGGUUGCCUCCCAUUUGGGGCAGACGGGUAGUAUUAUUCACAGUCCAAUCAGUGUUCCUCUACUUGGAGAUCGAGAGGGAAAUUCGAAGCUAGGUUUAGGUACGGUUGUUGCUGAAUCAAAUCAAGCCAAGAGUUACGAAUGGCCGGUAGAGGAUUACUUGGAGUUAUUUAUAUAAUUUGAAAAUAUCUGUUAAAGGCCGAUCGAGAGCUCCAACCACAGAUCAACGAGGAAGGGAGGAGAGAGGUGGCGCCAGCCGACACUGACAACGGCGACAAGGCAAUCACGGGUCGCCGUUGGAUGACAAUGGCUAUGGUAGAGAGCGAUCGAGUCACCGGUGCCCGGUGGUGAUGGCUUUUUUUUUCUUGAAAGAAAAAGAAUAUAUAAAAGAAGAAAGAUUGAACCUCUAUACAAGAUCGACUAGACAGUAGACACAGAGAGCCAACACACAUACUGAUAUGCGUUUGUCUUCAAGCAUUUCAUGCAUGGCAAUAAGUUAAUGUAGUGGUUAAUUUUAGCCAAGGUUGAGAACGUACAAUAACGUAUGUGUGUACAACUAGAUCCUCUCUUAAAGAUUUAACAAGCAUUAUGUCAACUUCCAACCGGGGUAAUUAAUCAUUUCAAAUACAAAAUAGCUUUGAAAUUAAUAUUCCUUAAUCAUUUGAAAUAAUCAAUACGUACAAAAUCACAUCAUAAUACGUAAGAUAAAUGUGGUAAAAAUUACAAAACGGUCCCUAAAUUAAAAUGAACUUCACGGUUCUUCUUGUUAAUAUCAGAGGGUAGCUAAAAGCUUGAGAACCAAGCAUAUUGGUAAAAACCUAGCAUUGACUGAUAAUUAACCUGUUAUAUAUAAUUUAAGUAUAUGCAUUUUCUUCGACGAAAAAAUCCCCUGAUUUAAUGGGUGGCAGUCGGGGCCGGCCAGAAGUUGCUUAGAUGGAAGAUCAUUUGACCCUAAAACCAAAUCAAAGAACCCGAAAUGAAAGUGAAAUUAAGAAUGAGAAGAAAACAAAACAAAGGCAUAGGAAGUUUACUAUAGCAAUUUUGGAAACAACACAAAACACGAACAGGUCCUUUCAACCCCAUCAUUUCAGUAGGUCAUAUCUAGCUCAAGGUAACAAACUAGUACCAGACUACCAGAUGGCCGGUAAUCGUACAAGAGUACUCUAGCAGGGUUUUGUAAGAAAACAAUUUCGACCCCUUCCUAGUUCCUACGUACCGAUCGACCAUUCCACUAAUCAAACUAUGACCUAUAUGCCAUCAGUUAGCCGAGCCGACCAUAAUUAUAAUUACUCUGAUAUAUAGUUUAGGUGAUAAAGAACUAUAUAUAUAUAUAUAUACACACACACACAUAUUAUUGAUCCGUAUACCUCAUACUGAAUGUGAAUUAAUCUUGUAUGUUGAUGGACCAUUGGACCUUAUUGAUGUGCUCGAUCUCCCUCUUUUCCCCCUUCAAAAACUAGGGUUUUGAGCGUCAGUGCACGUCCCCUCAUCUCCCGAUCGAGCUUAUGGAGCAGUACGUGGCUCUCUGAAAAUGCCGUUUAUCUGUUGCGCCGCAGCUUUCGGUUGCGAUUAGCCAUGACUUCAAUCAGGGCGAAGUCCAGCAAUGUUGAUCGUGAACCUUCUUCUUUGUUCAAGGUUGUAGCAGGGUCUUUUCUUGUGUUGCGGUCUUCCAUCGGUAUAUCCAAUGAUAUUAUGCAUGUGAUAUAGCUAAAAGGGCGAAUAAUAUGAAGAAUCGACAUAAUACUGAAAUUUACAAGAGAGUUUCGGAAAUUACAAUCCAUAUUUUUUGCACAGGAUAUCGUGACCCUAGCUAAGAGAUAGAACCAUUUUUCUUUGGUUCAGGAUAUAGCACCCUUCUUAUCAGUACUUAGUUCUGGUUGUUGUAAGUACAAUAAACUGACCUUCAUAAAAUUCAUGUCAUUGCUUCAUUAACUAUCAUACCUUCAUAUAGGUAGAUGAUGCCAAAUAGCAUUACAAACUAAUGGAAACUUUACUCGUUUACUUUUUUUUUUUCCUUUUUCUUCAUUUUAAAAGUUGCAUUCAUUUAUAUAUUGGAAGCAUGCCUUGUACGCAUUAUUCUAAUCACAGGGAUGAGCUGGGAGAGCAUAUUGAGACUUUGGUCGAGCAAGAUCCCAUUUCGAAAAACUAUAUCAUAGAGGAAUAAAACAAGAAAAUGACAAAGAUGAUAAUGGUUUUUUUAUGUCCAUUCCAUUUCUAAGUUCAGACUGCGCGCUAUUAUAUUUUGAGAGGGAACACACAAGCUUGUCGAAAAGAUGGACAAACAGAGAGACUACUAUAAUGUAGCUCCAGAUGUUCCCGUAUUAUUUAAGUUCUGCAUAUGCAUGCAUAUACUAUAUAGAAUAUGCAUUUGUCUAUUCAUCCAGAGAUACUUAAUCCCUUAUGAUUGAAGUUAUAUUUUCGUAGUAGCUAGUCAUCUUGAUUUUACUACUGGUGAUCCACUGAUGCAGUCCAGCGUCAUAACACAGUGCCUGCAAAUAUAUAUAAUGGCAUCAGUGUCUAUCUCCAUAUUGACAGAAAUAGUCCUCCUUCCGAUAAGAAUAUAUAUUGGUUCUACUGAGAAAAUAUUAUCCUCCGAUCACGAGGUAGGGUUCCUUCAAAGUGUUUAUUAAACUUGAAUCGGUUUGAGGUGGAACGAUGCUAGCGACAUGCUUCAGGCUAAUAGUUAAACUCGCACCAUUUCAGGUGCAACGACCUGUUGUUUUAGCUAGCUAGAUAUAUAACAAAAAUAACUUGGGUGAUAAACACUAAUGAAAGAUAGACAAGUGCCAAUAAUAAUUAUAAAUAAACAUGCUAAAUACCCAAAACCUUCAUGUUAUGUCCUUAAAUUACAGCCAAAUCUUUUAAAAUGGACAUGUGUCUCAUGUUUAUUGGUUAUGAUCAUUUUAAAGUGCCAAGUCUUUGUCACCUAAGUCGGGUUCAUAUAUAACAGCAUAACCUCUUGUACUGCUUCAUUAAUUGCUUUUGGACACGUGUCCCAUUUUUGCAUUAUUUUUCUCUGGCUACUACAAUGUUUCAUUAAUUGCUUGUCACCAAUGGGUUAAGCAAUAACCUGAAAUAUUGUAAUCGUACCUGUUCAGAAUUCUCCAUAUCGAUCUAUAUUUAAUGUACACCUUCCUAUAUAUAAUGCAUGUACCACUGUUUUUGAAAUAUCAAUACAUCACUAUGACAUAUAUUAGAUACAUUUACAAACGGAAAGUUUUAACUAGAUAAUUAGCUUUCUUUCCCUUUUUGCUAAAAAUCAAAGAAAGGGAAACAUUUGUGCUACAAUUAUUUUCUUCCCUAAAAGUAAUAUCGUGUUAUUUUGUCUACGUAACUGUAUCUCUAAUUCCAUGAACAGAUAGAAGUCAAGCUUAUCAUCAACAUGUAUAAGAGUAAGGUCAUGCUUGUUGACCUUUCAGUCAACAAGGAAGCUGGUUAGCUAUGAACCUUUCUCAAGUCCCUCCAAAUCCAGCUAUAUAUAUUGAUCGAUUAGAUUAAUUGGUCUUGAUUUUCCUCUAAAUUUGAAGGAUUAGAAUUGGUCUAUAAGUACGUACCGUCCACAAUUCUAGAAAUUAAUCAUGGAUCUUAGUCAUCUUAUUACGAUAAAACAAAAGAGGCGGCCGAUCGAGGCCAAUAGCAACUGAGGUUAAAUAUGUUAGGCAGGCGAUCGAGCUAUCUUAGGCUCUUAGCUAGUAUUGUAGAUCCAUAUAAUGUGAUCGAUCUAAUUCUAUCUCUCUAAAUAUAUUUUAUCGUUUAAACCAUCCAACUCUAUCUGUCAGAAAUUUCAAGCACCUAGCUAGGUUGAAAAUGAAAGAAUAGUUUAAGUCAUGAUCGAUAAUAGCGUAGAUGCAAAACCUGCAAUAGAAAACAGGGAAAGAGACUAAAGAAAAGAGGAAUGAUCAUGAACUGAUGGCUACUGAUGAGAGCUUUUAGUUUUAGCCAAUGCCUCUUAAUCAAUGGAUCAAUCAUGCCACUGUAAUUGUAGAAAGUUGGGGAAAAAAGGGUUACUGCUGCAUGCCCAUGAUGUAAAAGUAAAACAUGGAUUUCAAAAUCAAUAUCUCUCUCUCUCUCUCUCUCUCUCUCUCUCUCUCAUACUUGUCUAUGCAUAAGUGGAAAUGAUACUCUCUUUUUACAUGGUUGCUUGUAGUAGUAGCUAGUAGUUAGUGAUGAGAUUAUAAAAGUUUUUAGCUUAGGAGUAAAAAGAAAAAGAGAAUGAAAACUUUUGUUUAGAAUGAAAGAUAGCUUGUCAUGUUUAUAGAAGUGAUCCAGAUUAUUUUUCUGGGGUUGUGAAAGGGAAGAAAGGAAAAGACAGAAAGUGCCAACGUCAGAGUUUAGCCGUAGGGUUCCCUUCUGUUUUGUGACUUGUAUUGUUUUUUGUUUUGGUCUGCAGCCAGCUUCAAACAUAACAGAGCUCUCUCUCUCUCUCUCNNNNNNNNNNNNNNNNNNNNUACUCUCUCUCUCUCUCUCUCUCUCUCUCUCUCUCUCUCUCUCUCUCUCUCAGUUUUGAACAGCCAAAGUCUUUAUCUUUUGUUCAUGAUUGUGUGGCCAUAGUUUGGAUCUUCUUGGUAAUAUUAUCAAACACAUGGCUCUCAAGCCAUGAGGAGAAGAGAAGAAAAGUAAAGUAGCUAUAGCUUAGUUUAGUUAGAGGGAUCUGCUUCACUUCUCAGCUUCACUUCUCUCUCUGUUGUUUCUUUUGAGAGCAAAACUCUCAAAAUACCAAAAUUGUCUCUUGGGUUGGAGCCAAACAAAUCAGAGAAGAAACAAUCAAGAUGUGUUUAUAGUGGGUGAGUACAUAUACAUAUAAGCUUGACAGACAUCAAUUGCUGCCCUCAGUUUUAGAUUUUGUUUUGGUUUGGCUUUGUCUUCUUACUAGCUCAGAUCCUAAAGCACUCUUCUUUUUCUCACUCAGACAACUCUGUCAAGAUCCAUAUGAGCCAUGGCGGUUGAAGCUUAGCAAUUCAACAAGAAAAAGAUGAAAGCUUUGCAAUUUCAACAGCAACAACAAGUGGACGAGAACAUGUCUAAUUUAACUUCAGCUUCUGGUGACCAAGCUAGUGUCUCUUCUGGAAACAGAUCAACUGAAAUCGGCACCAGUAAUUUUUCUCAGCAGUAUUUUCCUCCUCCGCCGCCUCAAGCUAAUAGUCAAGGUGUGAAAAGGAAGAGAAACCAGCCAGGAAACCCAGGUUGGUAAUUAAAUUGUUACAGUUCAGAGUUACCAAAAGGUGUAAACUUUUUGCAUAAUUAUGUGUUUACUCAUCUGGGCUCUACUCUUUUUGGGUUUUGAAUCAGACCCAGAUGCAGAAGUGAUAGCUCUGUCUCCCAAGACCCUCAUGGCAACAAACAGAUUCAUAUGUGAGAUCUGCAACAAAGGGUUUCAAAGGGAUCAAAAUCUCCAGCUCCACAGAAGAGGGCACAAUUUGCCGUGGAAGCUAAAGCAGAGAACAAGCAAAGAGGUGAAGAAGAAAGUAUAUGUGUGCCCUGAAGCCAGCUGUGUGCACCAUGACCCUUCAAGAGCUCUGGGGGACUUGACUGGGAUCAAGAAGCACUUUUUCAGAAAGCACGGUGAGAAGAAGUGGAAAUGUGAUAAGUGCUCAAAGAAGUAUGCGGUUCAAUCAGAUUGGAAAGCUCAUUCAAAGACCUGUGGCACCAGAGAGUACAGAUGUGACUGUGGAACUCUCUUCUCGAGGUAACAAAAACUAAUUAAUCACCAAAAACCUUAAAUCAAUUAAUUAACUUUGAAAUCCCAGAUUGAUUAUUCUUGAUUUGGUACAUUGGAGUGAGAGAGAUUGAUGGGUUUGUGGUUACAGAAAGAGAUCAUGAACAAAAGAGAGGGUGUGAAAGUCAAUACUGCUUCUGCUAUCUGCUACUGUAAAAAGCAGUUUGUAGUUUUGUAUAUGGCAUAUUAAUGGCCUUGUUUGCUUGUGUUUUGUCCUCUUUAAUUUUUGGGGAUUUUCAUUUUUCUUAUACAGGAGGGACAGUUUCAUCACCCACAGAGCUUUCUGUGAUGCUUUAGCAGAAGAGAGUGCAAGAGCCACAAACCCAACACCACUUCAAACCCUCUCUUCUCCUCCACCUCCUUCUCAUCAGUCUCAGAUAAACCUCAUGGGGGGAGGCGGUGGACCCCAUCUCAAUUUCAACCCCCAUGGCCAUGACCUCCAUGCAUACAGUGCAUUCAUGAAGAAGGAGCACAACAAUGAUCAUGAUCAGCAAAUUGGUAGCUUCAGUUCCACCUCCAGUCUCUUACCACCUUGGCUUGCUUCAGGCCCACCUCCCACUGCUCCCUCUAUCUUCUCUGGAAAUCAGGAUCAUCAUCAUGAUUUCCAGCAGAACCUGGAGUUGGGUCCAAACCCUAACCCUAGCUUGGGCCCCACUCUCCCUCAAUUCCAGGUGCCUGCUGCCGCUGCAGCGUUAUCAUCCCCACCUCACAUGUCAGCUACUGCAUUGCUGCAGAAGGCAGCUCAGAUGGGAGCGACCAUGAGCAGCAGCAGCAGCACCUCAGGCUCGCUCUCGGUGCCAGCAGGCAUCAUGACCCGGUCCCACCAAGGUGGUCACGUGUCUGACUUCGGAGGUCACGUGUCUUCUACCACCAACGGCGGAGCAGGAGGAGCAGGAGGAGGUAGUGUUCAUCAACAACAACAGCAGCAUCAGCAGCAAGCAGCUAGCUCUCUUUUGCAUGACAUGAUGAACUCUCUGUCUUCGGGUACUGGGUUUGAAGGGACCUCGUUUGAGGACGCUUUCGGUGGCAUGUUGGGUAUUUCGAAGAUCAAAGACGGGAGUAGGAGUGGCGGAGCUGAUGAAAACGGUGGUCAAGGUGGUGGUGAAGGCUUGACCAGAGAUUUCUUGGGGCUGAAAGCAAUGUCGCACAGUGACAUGAUGCUUAAUAUAGCUGGUCUGGGAAGCUGCGUAAGCAACAACAAUAGUAGCUCGACCCGUGACUCCUCGCAGAUUAAUCAAGUACCACAGAAACCUAAUUGGCAGGGUUAGCCUGGCCUGGCCUGGAUAUAGCUAGCUCCAUCCCCACAUAGAUGAGAAAGACAGAAGAAAGUUGAAUAUAUCCUUUUCUUGAUUUUGGAUUCUCAAACAAUAUGAUUUUGAGGAGAGUAGCUACAUAUAUUUUGAUCUUUUAUGUCAAUCUUCCCAAAGGGAACAUCAUCCAUGGAACUUAAAUGGAAUUAAACGACGACAUUUUGAGAACUUGAACGAUGUGCAUGCAUUGUUUACUAAUAGUUGUAGUUUCUCUUUAAGGCUUUAUUUUCAAUUUAUGAAGGUAUAUAUUAUUCCUCAUAUUACAUAUUCGCAUCUAUGGAUUCUAUGCAUCAAUGAAAAUCAUGGGAAGGUUAAGAUUCAUGGAAAUGCAAGUACGUGUUAAUUAAUAUGAACGAAAAGGUCAUACAAAGAAGAAAGGGUUUCAAGGGUUUCUUAAUAGUUAUUACAUACGUUGAUAUCCAUGUUUUGUUGGCUUUAGUUUAUAAGAAACUUUGUCACUGUCUUUUUGCUAUACACCAAUGCGUAAUUUGGUUGGUAAGAUUAACAUGCAAUAUGGUAUCUUAGUUAUAUAUGUGAUUAGUUACACUAAUUAAUUAGUUAGUGUUUCUCAAUCCUCCCACUAAUCUAGAAUUCCACUAACCCCAAAAUCCCGUUUCGUCCUAUGUGUAGGCCACUUAAAAAUUGCAAAGUAGGUUUAGUCUGUCUUAAUCCUUGGAUGUCAUACUAAUUAUCCCAGUUAAAUAAUUGCUGUGAAUAAACCCAGAGCAGUAUCAAUAAAAAAAAUAUAAAAAUAUAAAAACUCAGUAAUUUCUGAUUCUAAAGUAUGUAGGCAGGGAACUUUGAAUAUCCGAAAUAUGCGGAUUAUAUAUAUGGGAUAAUGGGAGAAUGGAAAAACUAAAGCAUUGGAUUCUCAAUGUAUGUGCAGGCUAGGCCAAGGUGGGUGUGUGGUGUGAGCAUAGUUAGCUGCUGCUGCUGCACAAGAGCACAUUGUGAAAACAAAAGAGAGAUGCUGUUUGAUACCUAAUCUGGGUGCAUUGCUAGUGGGAUUCAAUCCCGAGGAAGCUAGAUCAGCUUAUGUUCUUUUGUAUAAGUUAGUACCUAACAGUAGUGAAAGGUUUUAGCUUUAGUACCCUUUCCUUUUGCUCCCAUGAAUAAGUAACUUAUUAUGCAUUCUUGUGUUGUGUGUGUGGAAGACAAAGUUUGUCUGUGGGCACCGAUCAAUUCUUGUACUAUAUAUUCGGCUCAAAAGAAGUUUGGUUGAAAUGUAUAGAUCAUUUGAUUGGUAGUGGUAUAAUUUUUUCGAGCAAAUAACGCGUCUUAUCUUCAAAUAUCUAUAUGUUUGUGAAUAAGUAUUUUAAUUACGUGUGGUAAUAAUGUUAAAUAUGAAAAUAAGAAAAACUAAUGGUCGUCAAUCGUGACAUGUUGGUUAUCUAAAUAACUAACACUGUAGAUGCACGCCGUCAAUGAGUAUAAAUCUCACUACACUAAAAUGGAGUGAGGUAUAUAUGAAAAUUACAUUGUCUUCUAAACAAAUGUAAAACACGAAAAAUAGGGAAGAGAUCAAUCAAACACCAGCACCAUAUUGGUUUCGAUGCUACAAUGAUCGAAAUGGUCGAGUUUGGUUUUCACAAAUGUGGUGUGGAAUAGAAAAUUAGGCAAGUUGAGGUAGAUUUGGGUUUUUAAUUUUCCACUUGAUGAAGAGAGAAUGCUACACAAGUUCAGCAGAGAGGGUCAAUUAAAUGGUUCUCAUAUAUAUAUAUAUAUAUAUAUAUAUAUUGUAUUGAGGAGAAUAUUUUCCCAUUGAAAAGUGGAAAAGAAAAUGAGAUUAUUUGAUGUGACCUGCCGACCUGGUAAGGAAUAAGUGUAACCUGAUGUUACUGUCAUUGGUUUUGCUAGCGUAUAUUCUACAUUACAUUGACAGCAACUGUUUGCUAGUAAAUAAUUUAACAAGAACUUAUUUAUCAGCGCUACUGUUAAGUUGUCAUGGAUAUUGCACUAAAGAAUAUAUGAUCAGUCGAGUUAUCUAAUGAAGCUAGUUAUGUGCCUGCAUCAGGUAACCUUCUGAAUUUUUGAAAAUAUUUGGACAAUAGCUUUUGUUUAUGUAAAUACAAUAAUCAAGACGGUUUAAUAAUUAUAAGCUUACAAAUUAAUAUUGGAAAAUUAGAAGUUUAACGUACUAUAUAUGAUCAUCAUCGUCAUUACAUGCAUGUUACCGUGAGAGGACUAUUUCGAUUUUGCCUUUGAUAUAUAGGAACUUCUUUAUUUUAAUCAAACCUGGCAAAUGUGAGGUAGAAGAGCGAUAUAUAGGAACUUGAGAAAUGAAUCAUUUCGAUCACUUAGAAUGUGCAUAUCAAAAUGUUUGAAGGUAUUUACAAUCGCUUAUGUUCAUUGGUCAUACAAUCUUUUCAACAAUUUGAUAGAUCGGCUUAGAAUUACAAGAAUAUGAUCACACUCUUGAUUUGAUAAUUAUACUUGCAAAAAUGAUCUUUAAAUGAAAGUCUAGAACUCUAGAUCGAGUAAUAGUUUAAGGAAGUUAAAUUUGAAUUCGAAUCCUCUCAUUCACUGUUAGAAAAGAAAAUUACAGUUGAAGCAACUACGCUUCGAUAAUUAGAAAUGAUCAAUCAUUGAAAUCAUAUGGCAUGGGGCUCCAUAUACGUUUGUUCCUUUAUAUUCAAUUGAUUAAGAUAUUUCGAAGAGCUCUUUUCACAUUUUAAUUUGUAUAUAUGUAUAAGAUUAUAAGGUGCAUGAUAGCUAGGUUAGUGCUUCUGCAACUUCAAGCCUCAAAUGUUGAAUUAGGUCAGUAAUGUAAAGUGAUAUACACUGGCAUAUAUGCAUCAAAAUGCUCUAUAUAUAUGCCUCUGUUUGUACACGUGCGUGGCCUCAAAGGUUUACAUUAUCACAAUAUGCAAAUUUUGAGUCAGAAAAAAAUAAACAUGAUUAGCCUAUGAUCAUCAGAUAAAGGGGCUUAUAUAUGAAAACCAGCUGAUCGAGGUUGAAGCUAAAAAGAGCUCGAGAUUCUCAUCUUUAUAAACUUGAUAAUAAUGUUAGGUCAAUAUGCAUAGAGAUAUGCAUGUCUGAGCUAGCUGGCUGGCUUUAUAUAUUACUUUGAGAGAGUUGAGAUUGGUCUUGGAGGGCCACUUUGGUUUUUUAUUUCUAACAAAAGAUUCCUCUCUGAAAUCCUCCAUGAUCUUUCGUGUGUUAUAUUGUUAUAGAAAGAACACAGAGACCUUUCUGAAUUGUCACCCAAGCCAGCAUUGCCAUUUUCUUGUUUGCCUGAGAAAAAGAGAGAAGUGUGUAGGAAGCGAGUAGCUUGAGAGCGUGUCUGUCAUUUCACAUUCAGGUACAGAUAUUUCAGAUUCACAUUCACAGGAUAGGUAAAAGCACUGAGAGAUAGAGAAGGCAUGCCCAGCUAUAGUACUCCAUGUCUCCAUGGAUGGCCAAAUUGAUGCUUUGGGUUUUCUGGGUGCUUACUUUUUUGUAUUGAGCGCUGUUCAAAAACACAAGAAUAAGAAAUGAUGGGGUCUGUGAAAAAGCUGCAGAGAAACCAAGGCAAAUGAGCAGAUGCCCCAGAAUAAAAGAAUGAAGGGCAAAUUUUCAUGGUGGGGAAUGGGGAUCAAUGGCAUUGGUAUGACUGAUCAAAAAACACAGUUGACUUGUCUUUGUCAAGAUGGUUUGCCUCCCUUUGUGUUAAUAAUGCAACCUUUUCUCUUUGACUUGCCAUCAUCAUCAUCAUCAUCUCUCUAGGUUAUCUUCUCCCUUCUGUAUAUGCAUGUUUGCUUUUCUUUUCUGUCUCUAAGCUCGCUUUCUCUCAUUUCACUCUCAUUGCAGGCAGACUGCACAUGGUGAUGGAGAUGUAGGAGAGAGCUAGCUUGAAUUGGCAUGGUGAUAUAUGUCUAGCUCUUCAUCUCUUUCUCAAAAUUAAAGAUAGCAAGAUAGCUACUUCUUCAUAAAGAAUCAUAAUUUGCUGGGUUCAUUAUGGCUGAAGUUGAUCGAUGUGAAUUACAGCAUACUUGAUAAUGACAAUAUAUUCCUCUUUGCCUUCUAAUUAACCAUUAAAGACAGCAGAAUUGAGAUUGAAAUAUAGGUAGCAGCCGGUAUCUAUAGGUCAGUUUUAAAUACAGUUCAAAUAUCACUAUCAAAAUGCUGAUAAAAGAAAAUUACAAACACUUUUACGAUAAAUAUUAGAUAGCUAAUGGAUUGCUUUUCCUCUUUGCAUUUUCUUAAUUAGACAAAUUUUCAAUUAGGUCAGUAGACAGUAGUCAUAUAUGCACUAUGCCAAAC